Molecule: long non-coding RNA, 63649 nt
Filed under: Populus trichocarpa (black cottonwood)
Lineage: Eukaryota; Viridiplantae; Streptophyta; Magnoliopsida; Malpighiales; Salicaceae
Description: long non-coding RNA (PTRI_LNC001319)
Source: RNAcentral
AGCAUGUGACGGAUCAAAGACGUGAUCACUUUGAUAAUGCUAGUGAUGAUGCGGAGAAGGAUUUGAGGCAAAAAAGGAAGAAAACAAAGGGUAAAGUCUCAAAGAUGGAAGAAGCUUCAACUGAUGAAAAGGAUGAUGCUGUGAUUGAAAAGAAAUUAAAGAGGAAAAAACCACAUGAGGAGCUAUUGAAAAACAAUGAUGAUAAGAUCCAUAAUGAUGAUAGAACUAAAGUUGAAAAGAAACUGAAGAGUAAAAAGUCAAGGAAAGAACUAAGUGAACUCGAUAUUAUCGAUAACGGGGAAGUAUCAUUUGCAGACCUUUUCUCGGUUGAUGCUGUAGAAAAUCUGAAACAUAACAGUGAAAGUAAAACAGUUGACAAAAGUGGUAUAAAUGUUCUGGGUGGCUUGCUUGCUGUCUCUGCAAAGAAAAAGAAAACUAAAAACCAGGGUUUGGUUUCUACAGUCCCAUUGUCCCCUGCAGUUGAAGUUGGAAUGGGUGGACCUUCAACAUGGGGUGAUGAGUAGGUAUUGAGAAUGCUUUGGGCUUCUAAGUUUUCGUCCUUUAGUUCAACUACUCUUCUGACAUCAUCCCAAUGUCUCCUGCUUCUACACCCGGUUCCUUUCCAAUUGAGAUGGUGAGUUUCUAGGCACUGUUUUAUCUCCACAUUGGUGGUUUGGUAUUAUGAUGAUUUAGGGGCAGAAGCCUUGCACUCUUUUGGUGAAGAAUUUUUCUCACACCAUCAAAAACUUUUUUGAAAUUAAUCAGCUAUAUCACGAGCUACGAUUGGAUUUUGGACAAUUUGUAUGCUGAAUGGUGAUUUUUGACGAUUUGAGUCCUGUCAUGUGUGUGUUGGUGAGCAUGUGCCGACCUGUGUUCUGCUUCAUCCUAGACAUUCUACAUAUUCCUGGAUUUUUAACUUAGUAGAGGCAUGACCAAAUCUCCCCCCUGGUCCUGUCAGACCUCAUGCUAUUUCUGUUUUCUAGUUCAGCUCGUACCACACGAUCAACUGCCUACAGUAAAAGCUCUGCGUGCAGAAACGUGGAUUAUUUAUGAUAAAGCAUUGUAUGCGAGAUCAAAACGUGGCUGAGAAGGAUACUUUAGUAACUGUUGAAGUAUUACCAAUGUAUUUUUAAACAUUAUACAUGUAGUCGUAAAAUUGUAGGUUCCAGUCUUUUGGGGGCAUUUGAUACCUUUGACCUUUCAGUUUUGGCUGCUGCUGCUGCUUGAAUGAUGUCGGUCUUGUUAUGCUGUUAUAUUAUAAUGUUUCUCAAUCUUAGGUCAAAGGUUGCGACUAUUGAUAUGGUUUGCAUCUGCCUGGAAGCUAGCCAUCUAUCUCGGAAGUCACAGGAGGAGAGGCUAGAGAUUCCCGAUUCGACCAGGAAAGAUUUUUAUUUUUUUAAAGUAAGACGAUCACAAGUGCAACUGUUUGGUUGAUUAAGUAUGCCUUUCACUUAAUUUCGUUUAAAAUUCAUCACAGUUCAAAGAUUCAUGCCUUGAGAUAGUUAAGGAUUGUCAAACAAAUCUUAUUAUUUAGUCAAGCAAUCUUAUUGUUAAUGAGCAGAUGGUGGCUCUGGCUCCCAAAUAUCGUAGUUUGGGCGUUCUUUAUUUCAUUCGCUGGUCAAAAGCCCUGAGAGUAACCUUUGCUCCCAAUUAAAGAUUCAUCAUAAAUUGAACUCCAUCGAGUUGGCCUAGGGUAGUGUGCUACUAUUUAAGAUUCUAGGCUGAAGUCUUGCAUGAGGUCAUCAUUGCAAAAAACUUCUUGUUGAGGGUCUUGGCCCUCAUAUCUGAUGCUAAUAAAAACAAUUCUUUUUCAAUUGAGAAUUUUUUUUAUUAUGUCAUGCAAGAGUGAUGUCAAAACUAAUAUAUAGAGAGCAUAUUCAUAAAGUCAUUUGAUAGAAGAAGAAUUUUAUUUCCAUUGAUGUAUAAACUGAUUGGAUGAAAUGUGAGGCUCAACAAGAGGUGAGUGAGUUUGGCACUCAAUAAUUGAAUUGGGCCAGUUUACUUAGGGGUGCUGGAGGAGAAAGGCUCAUAAGAAGAAGAAGAAGAAGAAGAUCUCUAAAGGAAAGUAACUUGAAGAAGCCUAUAUGCCUUACUUUAAGAAAAAUAUAUACGUUUUAAUAGUUGAUUUUGAUUUCGUGUGAAUCGAAAUCAUAUUUUGAUUUCUUCUCGUGUACAUUAAAGAAACAAGGGUGUGUUAGUGAGGAGGAGAAAAUGGAUGAUCUAUUGUUUUUUUUUUCUAUGUUAUUUUCAUAAUUAAAAUGAAUUCAAUCAUUCUUUCAAACUUUUUCAUUUUGAUUCAUAAUUAAAAUGAAUUCAAUCAUUCUUUCAAACUUUUUCAUUUUGACUGGUGACUUUGGACUGGGUUGAAUCAUUUCUGUAUAUAUAUAUAUAUAUAUAUAUAUAUAUAUAUAUAUAUAUCUAUCUCUUCGUGUGUUUGUUUUUGUUUUUUUUUUUUACAGUAGCGGAAAUUACUGUGAAUUACGAGUAUUUUCACUGUAGAUUGUACUGUUUGGUAAGGCAUGGUGAGGCGGCAAACUCGUUUUGGUGAGGCUGCAACACCCGGACUGCAAACACUUGAUGCUGGGGUCGGCAAGAUCUAGACACCUGCACGCCAAGUGGAGUUGCAUGCCCCAUGCUUCAGACCCAAGCAAGCAAGUCUGCAAGCCAAACUUUGAUAACUGUUAAAAUAUUUUGUAAAAUGUCAAAUUCAAUUACUAGAGGUGGAUAUCUAUCUCUUUUUAUUGACAAUAAAGAAUAUUCUCUAAUAUAAUUUUUAUAUUAAUAAAAAUUAGUUUUCUUUAUAUGAUUUUAAAACUGAUAUAUUAAGAAGAAUAUAUUUUUUUACAAAUGCUAGCUACAUCAUUCAAAUUUAUCAUAUUAAGAUUCUACUAAAAUCGUGAGUAUUUACUAUAUUUUAAUCUAUAUAAUAAUAUCAUUAUUAUACAUCUCUUCUUUUCGAUGAUGAAGAGCAUUUUAUGAUUUGAUUUUUUUUUAUCAAUUAAGUUUUUUUAAUACAAUUUUAAAAAUAUAUUUUUGUAUCGAUCUACUGCAUUAAAAAAAUUAUAAAUGUCAAUUUUAUAAUUCAAAUUUAUAAUAUUAAAAGAAAGGAAAAUCCCACAGGAUCUUCAAGCCAUAAAAAAUCUACUUUACAACAUGAAAGACAAAGAUCUAGUUAUUUAUCUUCACAAGUAGUUAUUGCUUAGAUUUUUUUUCCGGUUCUUAAGAGUCGGUGUGCCCAAGAUAUUUUCACAGCUGCUGGGACUUCAAGGAGAAAUAAUUUUGUAUUGUUAAACCUGAUUUGACUAGUUAAUGAGUUGGAUAUAUCUAUAACAACAUCUAGAUAUAUCUAUAACAACAUUGUUUCAAGAAUUUGUUUUUAAAAUUAAAAUAGUGUUAUUUUUUUAAAAAUAAAAUCAGGUUUUUAUCAGGUAAUGAGUUGAUCAGGUUACAUCAUAUCAUCACUUGGUUUAAUUUGAAACCUAACUUGAAUUAAGAGCUAAAUCAGUUUAAUAACGGUGGUUCUUUGUGAUUCUUUAAAGAUAUUGCAAGUUAUUUGUAAUUAUAAUUAAAAACACUAUAUAAUGAUGCUCUAAAAUACAGUAUGCUAGGGAAUUUGGGUUUUUUAGCGUUUGGAUAAUGGAUGAUUACAUGUUCAUGUCAAUUUUCUAUUCUCCAGAACCAAGGACUCGGAUGAUUGGUGACAGGCCUGAUUUCCUAUAAAAUAGUCUAUUUUGGUGGGACUUAAGGACCCUUUAAUGAUUAAGUCAGUGACUUUAUAAUGAGGAGUUGUGGUAAAUGAGCAUUAAAUUCUAAAAACAAGAAUGUUUGUUUUUGGUUUGUGUAUGAUAAAUACUGAGAAUAUGUUAUGAAAGAGUCAAGAUUAUAAACCCUUUACCUGGAUCGUUCAAAUGGUAUUUAUAACAUUUGUACCUUGAAUUUUCUUCUUUUUUCUUUGAGAAGUCGAAAGUCUUUUUUCUUUUUUUUUACAUCCAAGUGAGAAGGGAGUCCCCCUAUCAAUAUUAAUAUUGAUGUUGAUGUAAAUCUAAUAUUGAUAUGAAUAUUUUUUUACACGGUAUUAAUGUUGAUGGGAAUACUAUAUGCCUAUACGAAGUGGCCCCGUGUCAUUUUAUUCACAACAUUAAUGUUGAUGGGAUAAAUCUUUAUAAUAAACAUUAACAUAACGUCCUUUUAAGCCCAAAGGCAUCUGAGUUGAGCACGUAGCUGAGCCCAAGUAAGUUGGAUUUGACAUCUUGUUAAACCUACAUGUGUUUAGGCCUAACACGUAUCCGAGCUUAAAAAAAUUGAGUCUGUCAUCUUACCAGACCCACAUGUACUUGGGCUUAGCACAUAACUAAACCCAAAGAAAUUGGGUUAGGCACCUUGCGAGACCCACAUACACUUGGGCCUAUCGCAUGGCUAAGCUCAAAAUAGUCGGGUCUAUCAUCUUUUCAAACCUUCUUUCUAAAGGUUUUGACUUCUAUUGAGCUUUUGAGAUGUGUCAUCAUUCUCUUGGCCUCUCUAUCCAUAGGUCUUUUAAAGAAAAUGAGUUUUAGCUUAAAAUACAUUAAUCAAUCAGUAGCCCCUAAGUUUUUAUGUAUUUAAUAUAUAAAGACUUUAAAAACAUCUAUCUCUUCUUCUUUUUUUAUCAAAGCUCUUUUACAUUUCCUAUGAGUUUUGUCUAUCCAAUGUCAAAUUGUUGGGAUCCUUGUGUUAUUAGAGGAGGUUUUCUUGAGAAAUAAAAUGAUGGUUUGCUUUUAAUAUAGUAAUUAAGUAGACUUCUAGAGAUCCGAGAUGACAUGAUAGGUCAUUCAUCCAAAAAUAAGGGUAAUAAAUCAUCUCAUUUUUAACCCUAGUUGCUUAUCUCCUACUCUUUUUUUUUUACUUUUCAUAGUCUUUGUAAGAUUGAUCUAAAGAUUUAUUUAAGUAAGUCACUGCCAUAUUUUUUAUCUUAUACAUUCUUCUUCUUCUUUUCCUCUUUAGAAAAAAAUAGACUCUCACAUGAGCAAGUUUGGUCCAAGGAGUGAAGGUAUGGCUUCUUAAAAUGAUGAGUUUCAAUCCGAACAAGAAACUAGAGGGAACAACAGAGGACAGGGGUCCAUCAUAUUGGGUUUUGGGUCUGAAGGUGGACCUUCAACACCCCCUCCUAAUAAGGGAGGAGAUAGUUCUUUGUAUCAAAAAAGCUCUUGUAGUGCCUCAAGAGAUCAUCCAGAGGGGGAAAGGCUACCUUGAACCUCUAAGGAUGAUGUUCUCAACACCUUGAGUAUCAAGGAAGUGGCCUUCGCCAAUGGUCAUUAGCCUGGGGCCUGUAUGACUUAGUUUCCUUAUGAAAGAGAAAGGAUCAACGAGGAGACUUUGGCCUCUACUUAGAGGUGCUUUGAGAUUAUAGCCACCAUGUGUAUGUAUGACUUAGGGUACUCUUACCUUUUUCUUGCCUUGUUCUUGGUCGCGCUCCCUUUACUUUCUUGAUUAUCAGUCAUUUAUAGCAAUAAAACACAUCCAAAACUUAUUCUAGAAGAAACAAUUGAUGAUUUUUUAUGCAGUUUUUCACAGACAACACCAUUAAUGAUGCUUUAAAAUACAGUAUGCUAGGGAACUUGGGUUUUUUAGUGUUUGGAUAAAGGAUGAUCACACAUUUAUGUUAAUCUCCUAUUCUCUAAAAAUAAGGGCUUAGAGGGUUGGUGAUAGAGGCCUGAUUUCCUACAAAAGAGUCUUUUUUUAGUGGAAUUUAUGUGAAAUUUAAGGACCCUUCGGUGAUUAAGUUAAUGACUUUAUAAUAAAAAGUUGUAGUAAAUGAAUAUUAAAUUCUAAAAAUAAGAAUAUUUGUUUUUAGUUUGUAUAUGAUAAAUGUUGAGAAUAUGUUAUGUGAAAGUUAAUAAUAUUAUGAACCCUGAGUCGUUUAAAGAGUAUUUAUAACUUUCAUACUUUGAACUUUCUUCUUUUUCUUUGAAGGGUCGAAAGUUUUUUCGAUUAAAUUUAUAAUCUUGCUUCAUUUUUUAUACAUGAUUUGUAUUACAAUAACCAAUCUAAUCAAACAUCAUCUUCAUCAUCAGUGCAACCUUCUAAACUUCCUAAUAAAUCAAAUAUUUUACCACCAUUUCACUGUAUUGUUGUUAGUAUUAUUAAAUUUAACCUCGCUUAGCAAGUUAAUUUAAUCCAAGACAUGAUUUAAAAUGAAUUUUAAAUUAAAUUACAUGAAAUUUAUUAUAUUAAAUCCAGUCAAAACCUAUUUUGAUGUAAAAAAAUUUAAAUCAAUAUAUAUUAUUUUAAAUUUGAGUUAAUUUGAAUUAAUUUACCAAUAAUAAUCCAGGUCUUAAACCGAGUUAAGAGGGGCGGGUUGGGAAGCUUUGACUGCUGUGACGUGAAUAAGAAUAAUGACGAUCAUAACUCAUUGGUUAAUAAUUAAAGAAAGGUGCUGGCGGCUUGAAUUUCUUCAAGUCCUUCCAUGGAAGAGAAGAGAGAGUAGAAAGCAUGCCAUUACUGACUACCGCCUUGAACUCGUUCCUCUUUUCCUUUUUUCUUUUUUCUUUUUUCUUUUUCAAAAAUCAAGAACGAGUGAGAUGAGAUGGUGAAAAGUCUACAAAUCAAGCUGUGGAAUUGGCCAUGAUGCUCAUUAAUGCUAUAGUCCAGUGCUCAACUUGCAGCUAUAUUGUGCAAAGUCAAUAACAACCUCCUCCUCCAAACAAAAAUUUAUUAAAUUAAUAUUGUUUUAAUAUUUUAAAGAAAAAAUUAAAAAAAUUAAUUUAAUAUAACUUUAAACGAAAAAUAAUUUACUUCACAAUAUUAAAAAUACACUAAGUUCACGUCUUAGUAUAAAUCCAUGUUACUUAAUUUGUAUUUAUAUACGAAUUUUAUCAUUGAUUUUUAGAUAUAUGAUAUAUCUAUAUAUGGCUAAUUAUCUCAUUUUUUAAAUUUUAGAAUAUGUUGUGUUUUAAGUUUGGUACAUGACUUAGUUUAACCUCUAGUUAUUCCGAGUUAAUACACACACACACUAGUGCGUUUGCGUGUAUUUCACAAAAUCUAUCCACAUAAAAAUAUUUAAAAAAAAAUAUUUAAUUUAAAAUUUAUUUUUCCAUCAAUUAUCCCGGGGUUCUACAAACCAUGCCUAUCUCUCGCAAAUAUAUGAUAUAUAAUAUUUGGAUAUGGAUCAAAAUUUAUACUCUAAAGUUAUUAUUACAUACCAUGUUUGAAAACAAAAUAUCAUACCAUAUCCAAAAAAAUGAAAGAAUGCGCCCACAUUUUUUAAAAAAUUAACCCAGUUUUAUUUUAAUUCUAUCUAGCACCAUGCCUUCUAGAAGGAAUAAGCUGCUAAUUUCCUGCAUUCAUCACUUCUACUUAUAUUAGACUUUAUUGUUAUUAAUAAUCUCUCUUUUUUAAUUAUAUAUAUAUAUAUAUAUAUAUAUAUAUUGGAGAAUGACCAAGAAAUUAAAAGUGAUGUAAAGUCUAGCCUAAGUUAGGCCGAAAUGGGCCCAACUUGCAAUAAAUAUUUUUUUAUAUUUUGAGAAUUCUUUUUUUUCAAACUUUCAUGGGCACUCUAUUCAUAUUAGGCUUAGUCACGAUCCUAUUAAUUCUUCUAAUGCAAAACACAAAUUACCUGAUCAAGGAAAAAAAACAUAAAAAACUAUUUAUUUUAAUUCUUUUAUAGUUAAUGAAAAAAAUAUGUUCUUUAUACGUAACCAAUUCAACUGAAAAAAAAUAAAAUAUCUAUUAUUAUCAAUAGAUUAUUGGGGAUCAGUACAUGAUGUAAUAUUAAUUGCAUUGAUAAUGGAAUAUACAAUUUUUGGUAGCAUAUUCAUAAAAUUCGAUCAGUUGGUCAAGUUUUUUUUAUCAUGAAUUAAUUGAACACGUCAGUCCAAAAUAAUAUUAUUUUAAAAAUAUUUUAUUUUAAAAAAAAUAAUAUCAUUUUAAUUUUUUUAAAAAUCAAAUUAAAUAUCAAUUGAGUUUUAACUAAAUUAGAGGUUAACUAGCGAGAUCUUGAUUGAAUUUGAUCAGAUCAACUCUUAUCUCCAUUCAACUUGAAACUUGAUUUAUAUAAUUUAUCGAGUUGACAUAUUAAAUCGGGUAAGGUAUAUAUUGCAAGAAUUAUCAAGAGAAAAAAUCAAAAUUCUUAAUUUUUGUUUUUGGAACAAAAAUCUCUCUCUCUAGCCCUGGAGAUCGAGUCAACAUGACAAGCACCAAGCAACUCUUGAUUUUAAACUAAUUAAAUUGGGAAUUAUCAAAUGUUUUGAGAUAUCCCUUUCUCCCCAUGCUUACGCGAAGUAAAAUUUACCACUAGCAUUUUAAGCACCAAGCACCACAAGUGCAUGCACCAUUUAUUAUAACUAUCAAAUCAAUGCCCAUUCUAAUAAACCUUGCAGUCUAGUCCCCUAAAAUUCACUGACAUUUCAUGUUGCCCUUCACAAAGCUACAGACAUCUAAGGCUGAGCACGGAUUUGGGGAUCAAAUCGUAAAGCUUUAAGAUUCUUAUGAACUGAUUUGAGUUUUGGCUUAAAGAUGGGAGUCUGAUUUGUAGGCUACCCUCCAUUAUUUCCUCGAUCUCCCCUUGUCCAGCGAGGAAUGCAAGAUGAAUCUGCAGCCAUGGCAUCCUUGUUUUAAUUUAUUUAAUUGUCAGGUUUUGAUUUCUCUUUUCCUUUUUAAAAGUGAUAUGGGAGUAGUUUUUUGACUGCUUUUUUAAAACACUUGAUUAGAUAAAAUUAAUGAAAAACACAUGCAAUGAUGCACAAUAGAAAAUGGUUAAAAUUAUUGGAACAUGAUUAUAUUAAUUUCCUUUUCUUUUUCAAAGAAUAUAACUUGGAUUUGAAUCAUUUCCUUCUCAUCUAAUUAUUAUUAUUAUUGGUCUUUUUCCUAAAAAAAAAAAUUCCUUUUUAUAUAAUUUUUCGUUUAUUCUUUUUUAUAUUUUAAACAAUAUUCUAAAACUGAUUUCUUAAGAUAAAAUCUAAGAUUUUUUCGAUUGAAUCUUCGAUAAAUCAUCCAUAUUAGAAACCAAUGUAUUUUAAAAUAAUUAAUUUUUUAAAAUAAAAUCUAAAUGUUUUCUAUUGAAUUUUCAAUAAAUCAUCCAUAUUAGGAACUAAUGUGUAUUUUAAAAUAAUUUUUUUUCUUACAACAUUCCGUAAAACAUGAAUUUUAUCAUAACUUAGCCAAAUAAUUUAUGUUCUUAUAAUAUAUAUUAUAAGAAAAUCGUUACAUUAAAAAAUUUAAACUAGGAAGUCUAGCAGAACAUUCCUAUAAAAUAUUAUAAGAAAAUCCAGUUUUGACUUUUCAACUACUCUAUCCCCUAUAAAACCCCCCCACCCCCUCCCCCCACUUUGUCCCUACUCAAAGUCUCAAACCUCCGCUUUUGAAAAUCACCAAAGGAAACGUCAUCGUAAGCAUCAAUGGUUGCUCUCUCCACACCACCACCGCAACAACCAUCAUCAACUACCACACAAGAUGGAACCAUCUCUACUCUCCACCCCGACAUCCUCCAGACUCAUAUUCUCACCCUCCUAGACGGCCCAACCCUGGCUGCUACAGCCUGUGCAUCAUCAGAAUUAUAUGCUCUCUCUACAGAAGAUAAACUCUGGCGAAAUAUCUGCACUUCCUCUUGGCCAUCCAUUAAUGAUCCAACUGUCAGUAGCAUCAUCUCCACCUUCUCUUCCGGGCACCGGUCAUUUUUCUCAGACUCAUACCCUCUCCUCCACCACCACCAUCACAGCUCAUCGUUUCUGACAACAAGCACUGAAUAUCUUGUCUCGGCAGUUGAUAUUUAUUACAAGGAUGUUGCUAUUUUCUCAAAAGUUGAAAAGAAUGAGACUUUGACUGAUUGGUUCAAGUGCUCUCCCUUCAGGGUCGACAUGCUCGAGCCCAAAGAGUUUGUGCAGACAUUGAUACAAUAUCAAACAGGUGAAAAAGACUCGUUUGUGAAGCAACUUGAAGAAAAUAUGACGUUAAGUUGGAUUUUGAUUGAUCCAAAAAGAAGAAGGGCUAUGAAUUUGUCAAGUGGGAGGCCAGUGUCAGUGCAGAGGCACUGGCUAACUGGGGAAGUGGUGGUGAAGUUUGCCACCAUAAUGGCCGGAGAUGGAGGGGAGAAGGAGUUUGUGGAGUGUGGAGUGAUGGUUUGUUGUGGGAAGAAGGAAGGAGGGGAGAUGGAGGUGAGAGAGAUAAGUAUGGGAAUGGAGGACAUGGAAGGGAGGAACUUGACCGGGAAGGAGAGUUUGGUAGUAAUUCAAGAAGCAAUGGAGAGAGGGGAGAGGAGGAAAGGGAAAUGUGGGACGGAAGGGAAAGGAAGGUAUGAGGAAUUUGUAGAGAGGAAGAGGGAGAGGAAAGCAAGGAAGCAGAAGAUGGAAAAGGUUUUGGACAUGGUUUGCAUUGUUACUGGGAUCACCAUUUUUGUGUCUUCUUGGUCCUUCAUUUUGUUCAGGUAACAAGAAAGAGGUGAAGGGAAUCAGGGAGUGUUGACUAUUUAGUAGAAUUUAUUCAUUCAUUAAUUAUAUUUGAAAGAUAGAGGAAGAAAGAUCAUUAAAGGCAUAUCUGUUGAAUUAUCAAUUGGAUUGAUUCAAAAUCACUUCAAAUUAAUCAAUGGAGUUGUAAUUGUUUGGUUUUUGACGUUGUAUAUCUUCAUCUAUAAUAGCUUGUAAAUUCCCAUCUCAUCUGUCUUAUGGUGACGGCCAAUUCACGCAGCAUGCUAAAGCUGAAACAAUAAUAAAUUAAUAUAAAUAUAUAUAUAUAUAUAUCCCAUUUAUUUUUGUGGUUGGGACUGCGUCGUUUUGUCCUGAGUCCUGACCACAAUUUUAAACCCGUUUGGUUACUUGCAAUAUGUUGUGAUUUUGCAUGGGAUCUCAGAGCAAACUACGGUCCGAACCUUGGGUCUAGAAAAAGCUAUGAAUUGUUGCUUUACACGUUGUCUGAAGAGAUGAGAAAACUACAGUUGUAAAUCCACUAUUAGCUUUACCAAAAUAAACUUCUUGAGUUUAGCAAAUACAAUAAUCUUCUUCCAGCAAUCUCCGACUUUUAGUUAUUUUAAACCAAAUAUUUUUUUAUUUAACACUGUUUUCAACCAUAAUUUUAAUUAAAUAUAUAUUUUAAUCAUUUUUUUAUUUAAAAAUGGUUCUUCUUUAUUUAUUUUUUUCAAAAUUGCAAUCGCAAAAUAUGUCUAUAUAUAUAUAAAACACAACUAGCUGCUAGCUCUACUGUUAUCUUCUUUCUUUCUUUCUUUUUUAAUUUCAUUUUACAAUGUCCUAAAUAUUUAUAUAUGAACAAACAGCUAGUAAAUGGCAGAAGAAAGGACAAAGGAACACCGGCAAGAAGCCGGCCAGUAAAUUACAGCAGCUGGCCUGUGAAUCUCGAGUAGCUGUGCCGGCAUUUGUUCCUCCAAAAUUUUCAUGCCUUCUUGGCCAGCUCUUUUGGAGUCUCUGUGAUUUUCUUUCCCCCCUUCCUUUUAAUGAUUCGGUUGCCAGCUAAAAAUGAGAAAUUUCGUUUCAUAUUUUUUAUUUCACUCUUAAUUUCUCCUGAUUUAAUAAAGAAAGUUAAUGUUUAUCAAACUAAGGUAUAAACAGUCCUUGAAUGCAUAAUUAUAAGAUCAGCAUCUGGUAUAAGUUUUGGAUUAUUUAUUAAGUAAAUUAACCCUAGUUAACCUCAAUCCUUUUAAACCCCAAAACAACAUCAUUUUAAAAAUAAAAUCAGUUUUUUUUUAUCAUUAUCCGGCUAGAUUAUAAGUUAACACAUCAAGAUUAACCCGCCAAGCCUAAUCAAUUCUUAUAAUCAAUAAUUAAUGGUGGUCAGACCGACAUGAAUUUAAAAUCUGGGCCAGUACUCUGUCCAAAACCUUUCAAAACUGGGUCUAGGUGGACCUCGUUUCUUCUACGUAGCACUCGUCUAUUGCCCAAUCUCAAUCUGGGCAAAAUUCAUAGCAGAAAGAGCAGCCCAUCUUCACCAUUCCACAAGUUUAGAGCUUGUGGAUAGCAUUUUCUUCAGUGUCCAUUAUCAAAUCAAACCAAAUCUAACCCCACGCUAUCCAGGCAGCUCCUACGUGGCAUAAUCCCAUUGAUCCCUGGCACUUCCAUGCAAUCUUUCUCUUCCACAAAAAUCUCCAUCUCAUACAAAAUACAAUCCUCUAAUCCCAUCGAUCAUCAUCACCACCAUUGUUCAUUUUUGGUACAGUCAAUCCUUCCAUAGCAACUUAACUACCAAGCAAAUAUGGCAGCAACAUUUGCUAGCCCAUCAGCUGUUGUAGGGUUAGGCAGUGGCUCACUUUCAUCCCCUUCUCGCAUUUCUUCACCCAAGAAAAUCUGCCUUAGCUCAGGUGCUUGCUAAAUGAAAGUAGAGUAAUUUACUUCUCAUCCCUCCUAGCUAAGAAAAUGGGAUUUUUUAAUCUUAUAUUUUAGCUUAUAUCAUGGUUGAAUUUCAGGGUUUGUGAAAUCUCCGGUUACAGCUAGAAACCCUCUGGGGCUAGCAGGCACUGGUGGAGGAAAGUUCAUGUGGUAAGUGUAGAAAGUAAUUGAUUUGAUUUGGGAGAUGAUCACGCAAUUAUCUUUGUAAUGAUGGAUUAAUUGUUGGUUAAUUUGUUUUUCUUCUAUGAUAGCUUUCAGGGGGAUUGGCUGCGCAAAGACCUGAACGUGAUAGGGUUUGGAUUGAUAGGGUGGCUAGCACCAUCAAGCGUACCGGCAAUUGGUGGCAAGAGCCUGACUGGGCUCUUCUUCGAGAGCAUCGGGACUGAGCUUGCUCACUUCCCCACCCCUCCUCCGCUCACUUCUCAGUUUUGGUAGGUCCACCAUGAUCCAUCUAGCCUCAUUAAGAUAUAUUUUCUAAUUAAUUGAGAAGCAUAGAUUAUAAUUAUCACAGAGGGUUUGUUAGGAGCCUAGUUAUAAGAGCAUCUCGUCCGGUCAACUCAGUUAUUUGUCUACUCGGAACGAAACCUGGCUUGGACGAGAUCAACGGAAAAACUUGUUUAUAUAAAAAAAAAAAUCAAAGCUUAUAUUUACUGAACUCUUCAACAUGGACCUUAGACCAGAUGGAUCUCUGAUUUGUUCUUACAUCUAUGAUUAGGAGUAAUAAAUUAAAAAUUGGAUAUAAGGAUGUUCUAAAAUAAAAAAAAGAAAUUGACAAAAAGGUCCCACCGAGAUUUGAACUCGGGUUACUGGAUUCAGAGUCCAAUGUCCUGACCACUAGACCAUGGGACCGCUGUUGACAAGGUCAUCGAAACAAUAUUUUUAUACAACUUUAUACACUGUUUUAAUCAGUCUAGAUGGGCUUUUCAUAUAAUCAUUCAGGGUUUGAAUUCUAAAACGAUUGCGAGGAGUUUUUUUUUUGUGUGAAUACAUUCUACUUAAAAUAUGAUUAGUGAAUACUGGUUUUGAUGCAAGAAAGCUUGUUUAAAGAUAUAUUUAAAAAGAAUUAACUCAUCAAUUUUGUCCCAUAAAGAGUUCUAAAAUUGUGAUGCAAUGGGUUAAUUUGAACCUCUAAUUGAGCAGGUUAUGGUUGGUGACCUGGCACCUAGGGCUAUUCAUUUGCCUUACAUUUGGGCAAAUUGGCUUCAAGGGGAGGACUGAGGACUACUUCCAAAAGUAACAAUCUGCCUGCUUUUAUUUGUAAUCCAUGUAUGAUAUUUAUCUUCACCUCACCUUCUUUUUAUCAUUUGGAUCUAUUUAUUUAAAAUAUGUAUUUAUUUUUAAUCCAUCCUCUUGAUCCGUAACCCGAUUUUAUCCGGGUUAACUCGCUAUCAACUUCUAGAUUGUGUUUUAUAACUUUGAAUUAAAGGUUUAAAAGUUGGGUUUGGGGGGUGAUUCCCGUUUUUGUUGCUUGCACCGUUGGGGUAAAUUAAAUGCUAUGAUGUAAAAAUGCAUUAAGCCAAGGAAAAUACCUCCACUGGAAAAUUAAACGAUGCUCUUCCAAGUUCCUCGAGCCUUGAAAAUGCUUAAUUAAAUAAAAUAAUUAACUAUAUAUACAAGUGGUAUUGUUCUUGCCCAAUUAUAACGUGCAUGGAAACGGACUAAUUAACAAUGAUAGAUUGCUCUUUUUCUUUGAGAACAUGCCAGCAAUCUUGCUAUACGUACCUUAUAUAGAUUAAAAAAAAAAAGUCAAUCUUGACGUGCCUUGAACAAGUAAUUUUGUAAAAACAAAUGUCUAAUUUACACAUUAAACGGGGGGAAAUGUAGAAAAAAUGGUGAAAAAAUAUUCAUAGCUAGGUUGAAAUGAAAGUGUCAACUCUCAAACAGUUUUUUUACUGAUUCUUUCCCCAAUUGUUCCUCAAUUAGGGUGCUUAUGAUACAAUUCCCUACAUGACCAUGUCAUUUAUCAAAAAAAUAAUAUAUAAUUUUUAUUAAAUCCAUGAUCAAAUAUGAAUGAAAAGACUUAAUUGAGAGUUUUUUUAAGUUUAUAAGAUGAAAUUGAUAUGAAAGAUUAUUUGAUGGGAAAUUAAAACUGACGAAACAUCGUAAAUUCGUUAGUCGAGAAGGGGAUUUUCUAUGUUUUUUUUUUUUAGGUUUUCUCCUUAUUUGUUUACAUGGGGAAGAAUUGAAAUACUACAAUAUUUGAGGCAAGGAUGUUACGUGAAGAUUUGGAUACCUUAAUUAUGAUUAGUGACCCUUAAUUAUGAUUAGUGACCCUUGUAGAAGAAUAACAAAAAUAUAAGAAUAUAAUUGACGCGCAAGCUAGUCCGGACACCCACAUUAAACUAAAAAAAAAUAUAAGAAUAUAACUGGCCAUAUCGAAGUUAUUUAAAAUAAGAAUAGAUCGCAUUCAUUUUAUUUAAUUAAUUUCAACAAUAAUGUGGCAUGUGCUGGUGUGUGGAUUUAUACCAUGAUCACAUGCGAUGAUACUCUUGAUAAUAGCUAAAUAUGUACAAGAUAGAUUACUUAAAUCAAGAAGACAAAAGGGUCAUGAUCUCCCACCUAAAAUAAUGAGAGAUGGACAAAAAAUAUAAUAAAUAAAUUGAUGAUAAGUUAUAUAUAUUAGUAAGUUUUGGCAUGCUUGGUUUAGUUAGAAAGGUGGACCGUUAUUUACUAACUCUAUGACACUCAUCCCCUAUUUAAUCCCCUAUUUAAUAUAUUUUUUUCUGAUAGUUUGAAAGAGAGUGGAUGCUUUGAAAGGAUAUAUUAUUAUUAUUAUGCUUUAAUAUUUCAAUAAUUAAAUCGGUCCAUGACUUUAUACUUGUAAUGCAUUCAAUUUUAUUUGACUUUAAAGUUAUAUUCACAUGUCAUCAAAUUAAUUCACUGCAGCACUGGAUUUAAUAACACUGUCAGAAACACGACUGGCCAAUAUAAAAAAUAUAAUUAGCAUGUUUUGGCCUUUAGUUUUUUUAUUUAUUUUUUAUUGUUAUUAUUAUUAUUAAAAUGUUGUUACUGUCUUAACAGGUACAUUGAUCAUCUGCUUCCUUCCAGAAUGAUUUAGUUGGAGAAUUUUCUCACCCACAUAAUAAAUCUGUAGAUGCUAAUAAUAAUAAUAAUAAAUCUCUAGAUAAUAAUAAUAAUAAUAAUAAAUCUCUAGAUAAUAAUAAUAAUAAUAAUAAUAAAUCUGUAGAUGAUCAAUUGCUGACCCUGAGAACAUUCUCUCCUCCUUCUUUUGACUAAGAAAUGGCUCUCUCUUAUUCUUUUUUUUUUCAAGCCCUUAAUGAUGCAGCAAUCAUUACGUUAAUAAAAGCAUGAUGAUUCCCUCAAUGACAAGUGGAUUUUGCAUAUAUUACAAUUAACUCCUUCAAAUAUCAUGAAAUAACAAUAACCAUCUAAAAGUUUAGAGAUGUUGAAGAAGGCCCCUUGUGUGGCAAGAUUGUGCUUGAUAUUUUAAAUUUCCUCUUUACUAUAAGGGGAUGAUUUUAAAAAUUAAGGACAUUUUAAUCUCUAAUACUACUAUUUCCAAAAUCCAAACCCAAAAGCAUUGCUAUAGAAUACAUCAUCGUGUCUUAUAGGUUAGUCCAAUGAUUUAUCAAUUAAUGACCUGAUUUAUAUUAUGUAUUAUAUCGAAUCGGAUCGAGAAUGGUUCUGGAUGAUCCAAUCAAAACUCGGUAUAAUUUUUUUAAAAUGAUAUCAUUUUAAUUUUUAAAAAAAUUUAAAAUAAUAUCAUUUUAGAUUAAUAAAAUAACAUGAAUUAACACUUCUAACUCAUGACACUAUUGCACAAAAUGUAGCACCAAAUGAACAAUAACACUCCUGCAUUUUGAUAAACAACAACAAUAAUGACAAUUAUAAUAAAUGAUUGAUGUAGUCAGUUACGAGGAAGAAAUCCAAAGACCACCACCAUCAAUAUUCUAUUCCAUGAGUGAUGAUGCAUUAGCUAAAUAAUUAUAGGUAUUUGUUUGUUAUCAUGAUAAUAAUUAUUUUUAAAAAUAUUUAUGGUUGUUUGGUAUUGUGGCUGCGGGUGAGGUUCACCCGCAAUCACAGUUUUUGUUGUUUGGUUAUAAGCAAAAGCCAUAGUGUUUUUGGUAGGACCCACCCUUUAUGAGGGUGUGCCGCAGGUUUACUUGUGCUGAGAUUUUACCCAUGAACAGUGGAGCAUGCCUCCACUAUUUCGGCCGGACCGGUCCGAUUCAAAAUUAAAAAUGCAUUGAACCGGUCCGACCCAACAAAAUAAAAAAAAUAUUUUUUUUAUUUUUAAUUGUAUUUUAUUCGAAAAACUGGUGUUAAACAUUAUUCAAUAACACUACAUAAAUUAGACGGAGAUCGCUUGAUGACAUAGCAUUUGCAGAAUUUGAUCGCAAUCCCAAUUUUGUUCCUGAUUAUAUUUUACUUGUUGUUGCACUCUUAAGAAAUUUGUGAAAAUUAUAGUCCUUGUCGGAUGUAUUUCAUACGUGAUGGAAUUGUAGAUAGUUUAAUGGAACAAUAAAAAAUAUUUUAUAUAAAGUAUUAUUUAUUUCAUGAUGUAAUAACAAGAGUUAAAUCUACAAUAUUUAAAUUAAAAAUCAUAAAUAUUAAUAUAUAUUUUUUAAAAUUAUUUUAUAACCUUAAUUUCAAAAGUAUUUUUAACCAAACACAUUAAACUACUUUUUGUUCAAUUUUAAUUUCAACCAUAGUUUUAACCAAACAUAUAUUUUUUCAAACCAAACUAAAAUAAAAAUAAUUUUUGAAAUUAUAAUUUUUUUAAAUUAUAAUUACAAUAGUUAUCGCAAUAUCAGACACACCCGAACUGUGUCGAUAAUUAUUGUUGCUAAAAAGAUGGUGUCGAUUUAAUGCCACUGGCAUUGUCAGUCAAGUAGGACGUCUACCCUAACAAGGGGACAGAAGGUGUGGUGGCCCUCAAUCGGACAGCUUCUGUGUGUCCUCUUGUCCCAGACCUUGAGAGCCGUUGGAGGGCCCCCACGUCCCUGCCCUUGGAUUCAUACCAAGUCAUCACACUGAUUUUUCUGCUUCCUUGACCGCCCAUAGGAUGACACUGCCUUUACACAGAUCUAUCCCUGUCCGUUCGAAUGAAUUCUCCUCUGGAAAGAAUUUCGUGUUUGUAAAAACGAGAUGCAUACAAUUAAAAAUAUUCAAUAAUAUUUAUCUGAGCAUAAAAGUAUAAAUAUUUUUUAAUCCGAUUGACUUUCAUAUUUAAAUUUAAUUAUUAAUAGCAUUUUUUACAUUUAUCUAGAAUAAUUUGUAUAAUUUAUUCAAUAUUAAUUUGAAUGAUUGUAUUGCAUAUAUACAAUGUUUUUUUUUUUAUAUAAAGGGUUACAUAUUUUAUUUGAUAAAAACUGGUGGUGUAAAUCUUUAUUGACUUUCAUAUUAUUCUUUGUUUCCAACAGAAGCAAAGAAUAAUAUAGGUGGAGAUUGGAGACCUCUUAUCUCCAUCCCUUGCACACACACACAUAUAUAACUUUCACCAUUUCACCUCACUUGAAUCCAUUUGUGUAAAACUCGAUUCGGUUCGGGUCAUCAAGGAGGGCUGGUUAAUUUUUUUUAAAAAAAAUAUUAUAACAAAAUUAUUUUGAUAAAAAAAAUCAAUGUAGUCAAGUUUUAAUCAAGUCAGGUUUAAGUUGAUCGGAUUAGUAGGUUAACCUGAAUUUUUAACUAGAUUAACCCAAUUUUGUUCUUCUUAUAUUUUUUUCAACCCGAACCAAUUCAUGUUCUAGAUUGACUCACCAAGCUAAUUCAGAUUUUACAACUAAACUUGUAUCACACCAAUAAUAGUGUUAAUGAUUAUAUUAUUAUUAUUAUUAUUAUUAUUAUUAACAAUAUACUAUAACAUAUGGGGAGUACUAUAACAAUGAAUAGUACUUUCCUCGCAUGUUUUGGUGUGGCCUUAAAAAUAUAUUUGCCUGUGUUUUUUUUUUUUUUUGAUUUUUUUUCAAUUGAUGUUUUUAUUUAAUAUUAUCCUUUAAUAUUAAAUUUAUUUUUUAUUGAGUUGUCUCACUCUCAUGACACAGAUCGCAAGUUUGGCAAGUUAACCCGAUUGGUUAGGGUUUUUUUCUCCUCAUUUAAAUUUUUCCCCCAAUUUCAUCCUUUAAUACCAGAUUAAUUGUAAAUUAUACUUCAUGAUUUAUUUUAUUUGCUUUUUAUUAGGUUAAUCCGGUCUCAUGACCCAUGAAUAAUGCUUAAUGAGUUAGCUCGAGUUGACUUAGAUUGUUUUUUGUGUUUUUUUUUAAUUGAGAAUUUUUUAAAUUUUAUCAUUUAAUAUUGGUUCGGUUGAAAAUUAAGUUUCAUAAUCUAUUUUGAUUUAUUUUCUAUGAGGAUAUCUUGAUCUCGUAAUCAGGGUCACGGGUUUUGGUAUUUUAACCUUGGUUAAAUCAAGUCGUUUUUUUUUCUUCUAAGAGGUUAUCUCAGUCUCAUACCCUUCAAUAUUAGAUUUUUUUUUAUUGGGUUAUCUCUGUCUCAUGACAGGUUACAGGUUUAACAGAUUAAUCUAGUUGACUCGGUUUUUUUUAAUUAAUUUUUUUUCAAUUUUAUCAUUUAAUAUUGUGUUUAAUUAAGAAUUAGGUUUCAUGAUUUAUUUUGGCUUGAUUUUUAUGAGGUUAUCCAUGUCUCAUGACCUGAAAAUAGUGCUUAACGGGUUAAUCCAUAUUGACUUGACUCAUUUUUAGUUUCAUAAUUUUUUUUCCCUCUUCAUAUGAUUAUUUCAAUCUCAUAAUCAGAGUUGUGGAUUUGAAAAGUUAAUCCGGUCUAAAUGAUGAUGUUUUUUUUUCUUCUUUCUAUGAUAUUAUCUUGGUUUUAUAACUUAGAUGAUGAGCUUGAUAGAUUGACUUAGGUUGUUUUUAUGUUAUUUUUUAGUUGAUUUCUUUUUUUCAUCUCAUCCUUGAACACUGGACUGAUUGAAAAUUGAAUUUUAUAAUUUAUUUUGAUUUUCUUUCUAUGAGAUUAUCUUGAUCUUAUAACUCGAGUCAGGAGCUUAACAUGUUAAUUCAUGUCGUUUUUUAGGUGUUUUUUUAAUUGAUCUGUUUUUUCAAUUUCAUUAUUUGAUUUAAAAUUAGGCUUUUAUAAUUCGUUUUGAUAUGUUUUAGGUUAUUAUAAUAAUCAACCCAAGUCAAUCUAAUAUCUUGAAUUUUUUUAGUUAAAUUAUGUUUUAAUUAGUUAUCCAUAUUAUUUUUCAUCAGUAAAAUCAACCAUUAUAUAAAAUUAACUUUUUCAUGGUUUAAUUUUUUCAAAAAAAAAAAAUUAUAUCUGAAAUAUCUGAUUUUUUUUUAUAUUAAAAAAACUUUAGCCAAUCCGUAUGACAUGAUGUAGUAGAUAAGUAAAGCAGUAGGGACAGAAUCGGGACCCUAGACUUCACUGCGAGCGAACGGGUCUUUUCCCACCGAAACCGACCCUCUGAUAUCUUUCUUUGAUCACAAAGAUCUUGACUGACAAUGGACUGAUGAUAGAUGUACUGGCACUGAUUAAACGGCCUCUGAAAUUAUCACUCUUGUACCUUCCCCCUUUUUUCUCAUAUUUGCAUAGAAGCCCCUUGCUUCUUCUUUUUUCCAAUUUCUGUCCACUCAACGUGACAUGUUAGGGCUAUGCUGUGGGAUUCAAAGACAAGCUUGUAUCCUAUCACGUGUUUGUCCAUGGCCACGAAGAAAAUGUCAAAGGCCAUGAUCGUCUUAUGAUUUUGCUAGCUUCUUAGAUCUUUAAGCUGAGGCAUUGAGGGUUAAUUAUGCAAUUAACAUCUUUCUUCAUGUAUAUUUUUUCCCUUAUUUUUUUUUUUUUGUGUAUAUACAUUUUGUUUUUAUGUUUUAAAUAAUUUUUUAGGAUGUUUUCGGAUCGUUUUGAUGAGUUGAUGUAAAAUAAAAUUUUAAAAAUAAAAAAUUAUUUUAAUGCAUUUCCAAACGGCUAACAAUUUAAAAAGCAAUUGUCACCACACUCCCAAACAUCCCUGAUUUUUUUUUUAUUUUUUAUUUAACUAUCCAUGUUCCAAUUCCAUGCACGAAAGAUGAACAAUCAAUAAUUUCACGCCACAUUCAAUUAAUCUAUGGGAAAAUAUUAUAUAUAUAAAAAUCACAUGUUAUUGAAACAAAUAAAAAUACAAGUGGCCCAUAAUUCCCUUUGUAGUCUCGUGAUAAAAGUUUUCCUUUUAAUGGUACUUGAAGAAGUUCUUUAACCUCCUCCUUUCCUCAAAGAAAACAAUAGAGCAGUCGAACAUGAAUAACUUUAAUUUGGUGUGUGAAGAAAUAUAAAUUCUUCACCUAAUCACAAAAUAUUAAGUAAAAUAUAUCCAUUAAUUAAAUUAAUCCUUCGAAUUGUUUCAAACUCCAAUCAAUUUGGUCAAACCAAUCUAAUAUCAUGACAUUCAUUUGAGCUUGAUUAGAGUCCUAAAUUUAUGAUUAGAUUUCAAGGUAUAUAUUCAAAAAAAGAAAAAGAAAAAGAAAAAGAACAUUCCAAUACAAAUAACGAGGGAGACGAGAUAAAUUCGAAUGAACAUGGUCAAGAUCACGACCGUCCAUUUACAGAUGCACGUCCCUGAUUCACUACAAGAAACGCUCACGUGUACGCCACGUCGUCUUCUUGUCCUCGUUUAUCAACCAAGACAAGACAGCAACGCUAACGACACAUUUAAGUGUUUAACCUCUCUGUCUUUGCCUUUUGUUUCCCUCUCAAGAUCUAUGAAUCAAAGCUCACUAAAUUUUCCUUCUAACAUCCCAUUUCUUGACAGUUUGUCCACACCCCCACCCCCACCCUCCUUUCUCCCUUUUUAGGUUCUUGAAUCUUUGAUUUCCCACUUUUUCUUUCUUUUUUUUGUGUGUUCUUUGAGGAAUUCAAGGUGGUUGUAAGUUUGGACUUACCAAAAAGAGUGAACAAAGAGAUGAUGAGGGGUCACUCUUAUCAACUUUAACCUUCAAAUCUCUAAAAUCUUUUUAAGAUUUUGAAAUCUUGUAAGUAGUAGUAUAAUUCUUGAAUUUUGUGCCACCAUUAACCCAGCUAGCAAGAUACUUGGCACUUAUGCAUGUAUUUUGCCUCAUAAAUGUGCUAGAAUCUCUCAUCGAAGCUACAAAUCUUGCAAAUCUUUAAAAAUCCCUGGAAAACAUUCCUUGAUGCUGGUAAUUAUGUGGUUCCAAUCCUGAGAGCACUAAAACAAGGCUAUUUAGUAAGAAUUUUAUAAGACAUUUUGCUGGAUUGUUAGGAUUAUGAUAUAGUUUCAUGGAGGCAAAAAGCAGAGAGCAGCAGCAGUGUAAGAUAAGAAAGAGAGGGAACUCAUCGUCUUCAUCGUCUUCUUUAGUCAAAAAGUACAGAUUCAAGAGAGCUAUUCUUGUUGGAAAGAGAGGUGGGUCUAGUACUCCUGUUCCAAUCUGGAUGACAAGCUCAAAAUCUCCAACUUUGGCAGAGCCAAAUGCUGAAUCCACCAAGUGCACACCACAUCAAAAUGGAAGCAAAGCCAAAGAAGUCUCAGUUUCUGCAAGAAAAUUAGCUGCCACUUUGUGGGAGAUCAAUGGAAUACCUUCACCAAGAGUUAAAAAGGAUUUGGAAGACAAGAACGAGGUUAGAAGCAGAGAAAAGGUGGCAAGGUUGCCACACUUGUCAGAUCCAUCUUACACUCCUUUUUCAGAGGUGAAAACAUAUUUAAAUUUCUUUUCCUUUUUCGGGAUUUCAUAUAUCCAUGUGAAUUUUACUCUCAACUAAAAAAAAUGGGUUAUGCCAUGCAGAGGAUGGAGCGAUCUAGAGGCCAUAGUCAUAGGAGAAGAACAUCAGUUGUUACAAAGACACUUCAGCUUACUGAUUAUCAUCUUGGAGGUCUGGAUUCUGUUGGCAAUUCCAGUUUGAUGGAGGUACAUGAAAACUUUUUUUGAUGUCAUUUUCAAAUAAUUUUCCAUGUUCUCAAAAGCAUAUACAAGAUUAGGAUGGUCCAUAUUUUAAAAUUGGUGCUUGAAAAAUGUCACUCAAAUUGACUCUACAGACACCAAAUUUAAUGCAGCUUUCAGCAUUAUUCUUAGAAAGAAAACAACAAAGUACCUUCAGCAUUGUUAUCUCCAGGAAAUAAUAAUAAUAAUAAUAACAGCCAUUAAAGACAUCAAAAUUUUGAAUUCUUCUACCUGUUCAAAAAGAAAAUCUUUACAGGAUUUUGGAUUGACACAAUUGCGUCUCAGAAUCAGGACCAAACAUUUUCCGCUGUCUCUCAAAGGGCCCAAUGUUGCAUAGUAAUAUUGCAUUUUUUUUUUCAUGUUUUUCUUUUCUUUGUACUCUCUGAAUCAUCAAUGGAUGCUUGGUUUGAGAAUUUGUGAGAAAAUAAGGAUCUGCUAGUUUGUCUCAGUUGUUUUACAGGGAUAAUUUAUAUGAGGGAAAUAACCGAUCCAACUUCUCAAAAUGCAGAUUGAAAGUCAUCCGAAAGGCCGGUCUCGUACAAUUGAAAUUAAGACCUGUUUGAAGGAUGUUAGUAAUGGGCUGACCACCUCCAAGGAGCUCUUGAAAGUUUUGAAUCAUGUUUGCGGUCUUGAGGAGAAGCACUCAUCAGGCUUGUCUCUUGUCUCCGCCCUUCGGAUUGAGCUUGAUAGAGCCUGCAUUUCGGUCAAUCAAUUGAUAAGAGAACAGCGAUCAAACCGCAGUGAGAUUGAGUACCUUGUUAAGCAUUUUGAGGAAGAGAAGGCAGCUUGGAAGAGCAAGGAGCGAGAUAGGAUUCGCAGUGCUAUAGCAUGCAUUGCAGAAGAGCUUGAAAUUGAGAGGAAAUUAAGAAGACAAACAGAGAGAUUGAAUAAGAAGCUUGGGAAAGAGUUGGCCGAUACAAAGGAAUCUCUGUCAAAGGCAAUGAAAGAGCUAGAGACUGAAAAAAGGGCGAAAGAGAUAUUAGAGCAAGUUUGUGAUGAGCUGGCUAGAGGUAUAGGGGACGACAGAGCUGAGGUUGAAGAAAUGAAAAAAGAAUCUGCGAAGGUGAGAGAUGAGGUGGAGAAAGAAAGGGAAAUGCUUCAGCUUGCUGAUGUAUUGCGUGAAGAAAGAGUCCAGAUGAAGCUCUCUGAGGCUAAGUACCAUUUCGAGGAGAAAAAUGCAGCGGUGGAGAGGUUAAGAAAUGAGCUCGAGACCUACUUGAGAGAAAAAGUAGGUGAAAAAGAUGGUGAUGGCUCUCCAAAUUAUGACAGGAUUAAAGAGCUUGAAGCUUACUUAGAGGAAAUCCAAUUCGGAUCGUGUCAACAGGCCGAGAGAGAAGAAAAUAAAGGGGGCGCAACAGGAAAUGGAGAAGUUCAUGACGGAGAUGAUUCAGCGGAUAGUGAUCUUCAUUCAAUUGAAUUAAACAUGGACAAUAACAGCAAGAGCUACAAAUGGUGUUACGCUUCCGAGGACAAUUCGAAGUGGUUUUCAGGAGGUAAAGAUUUCAAGGGAAGGAAGUCGAUCUCCGAUAAUAUUCAAUGGGGAAACAUUUGCCUGCAAAGAAGAAAUUCCAAUGGUAUUGAUGGUCUUGGCCGUGACUUGAUCAGUGAAAAUCAGGCAAGACCAGAUAUGCCCGAUCAGGAAAGGGUAGCCGAGCUUGGUUUCAAUUCUCAAGCACAAGGUUAUGAAGAUGAAAUUAGGAAAUAUAGGUCAGUGAGGACUCUCAAAGACCACAUAUUAUCUGGCCCUAAAAGAUCACCAAUACGAAACUUUGCUAGUCCUACGCGGCUGUGGGGGCAAUCCUUGCCUUUUCAAGAGUCUGGCAGUGUAGUUUCGGAUGGUUCACCUGUGAUACAAGGGAAUAAUUUGAAGCCCAGGAUAGCAGGAACAGGAGGUAAUUGUCGAACUUCAACAAGCUCCAGACAUUAAACAUUCUAAAUUAUUAUUAUUAUUAUAUUUUCCCUUUUUGCAGAAAUGCAGUGCUUGCAUUUUCUUCUAAAAUUUCAAGCCUUCCCGCAGUAAAUACAAAUCAUAUACAAGCUAUAGGGAUCUGAGAUCACUUGUCAACCAGUACUUAUGUAUUCUUAUUAUUCUGCUUGCGUGGAAUACCAUUCAUGAUCUACAACAAGCAUAUCAUAUUUAUAUAUGAAAAGCGAUUGCUCAGAAGAUUAGUCCAUGCAAAUGGAACGCAAAAAUCAUGUUUCGAACAUUUUUUGAUAUAUUAAGUUCUCUCUGAUGAGAAAAUCAAGGGAAGAGAUUGACUUAGCAGAUGUAUUCAGGAAACGAAGCGUGGAAGUAUUUCCUUAUCUGCCAUCCUAGACAAUUUUCUAUUGAAACGUUGAGAAAUUUUAAUAAAAAUCAUUUGCCUUUUUGGUUGAAUAAUGACAUCUAACUGAACCUCUGUCAGGUUAACAUGGAGACAGCCAACUUUGACUAUAAUUAUUGAACUUCAUAAUGUUUGAGAUGAGGUCAGUCUGCAGUAGAUCGUGUAGUAUUCAGAGACCAUUAACAUAUUCAUAUGAAUUUCUUGGUACUCGGAACAUGUUUGGUAAAUUUUCUGAUACCAAGGUCAGUACUGUUCUGGCUCCCUACAGCAUAGUUUUUUUUUUUUACCACCACAUGCAAAUUGACUCUUUCAAGCUAGGCCCCUGUAUUGAUGAGUGAAGACUCAAGGUUGAAAUAGUUGGAGGAGCCCAUAAGUUCAAUCCCGAUAGUCCCAGGUAUCAAACAAAAAGGAAUUUACUUAUGCAAACUUAGCUUCAGCAUACAUACCUCAGAAAAAACUAGUCCAAAUCGAAGUCUUGGAGGAAGAGUUUAUAGACCAUCUAUGACUCUAAGCUGCAGCACUUUAACAGCCAUAAGAACGCAACACACUUUUCCACGAGAGGCUUGUGGAUAGAAGAAUGUACAACAGGAAACAUACACCUGACCUUUGUGAUGAUCAUGGUGUCAGAACCAGCACCUAUCCAUUUAUUAGUGACGAGGAUGCUCCGUUUUUCGUGUUGAGCAGUAUUAGCUUGAAAGUGAGAGCAUGGCUAUUUACGAGAGGCUUCAGUUUUUGCUGAUUCUGAUGUGAACAUAACUGCAUUUGUUGGAUGGUCCCUCACAGUCAAGCUGAGAACUUCAGGUCUUGAGUAAUGUCCAACCACAUCAAAGUCAAAUUUUGCCCUAGCUAUUUCUCCAAGAUCUGGUCAUGAUUUUGAUAAUUAUCAAUAUCAGAAUUCUUCUCGAAAAUAAGAACACAACUAAAGCAAUCCACUUUCAAGGGAUGCCCUUAAUAGUAACCGAUCAUAAAACAUUUACAGUUUGUUACACAACCGAUAUUGACAAAUGAAGAACAGGGAGAAUUUCUCUGACCCAUCAGAACAUACUUUUUGUGAGUGAGUUGAAGUUUAAGCAUUAACUUUUUCACAGUCAACUAUGAUUAAGCCAGAUCAGGUAGUGAUAGACACUUCAAGCCCUAACAGUUGAAAUUUGCAUGAUUUCCCUUUAGCAUGUAUUCUGUCUGUCCCAAAUGUUUUCCACACCUUUCAUCGUGCACUUUAUUCUUUUAAAUUUAAAAAAUCACUCUUUUUAACAUCAUUACCGACCUUUCUAAAGUUAAACAAAAUUAGCGUUCCAAGAUUGCAAGAAUUCAAACAAUUUAUGGUGAAGCCAUGAAACGAUCAGUCAGGUUCCCAUGCAAGGUAAUAAUAUUGGAAGGGAAUAAAAUGUGGAUGAAUGGAGUAAUAACUACUAAGUGUUGUUUGUAAGCACUUUGGCACUAUUCAUGACAUAACUCAAAAUAGAGGAUGCCUUUUUUUCUUUUUUUUUUCCUCUCUCUCUUAAUGCUUUAGUGUGCUCUCAACCAAAUAUAUCAUUCAUGCAGAGAUUCGAGAAGAGAUUGCUAAUGUCUGUUUCCAGUGUCUCCUUAAUGUAUUCGGAAACCAACCAUCAUAGCUACUUAGACUCAAUUUCUCUAACAUCUUCACUUAUAUUUGAUUUGUAUAUUCUCCUUAGAAAAUAACAGAAACUACUCUCUUUGGCAAGCAUUAGUAAGAAUGAAGUUUGAUGGCAUAUAGAAGCAUAAAAGCUUAAGAUGGAAGUGACAAUUUACAUACCUAGAUCUGCAGAAAUCAGUGCCUCCCCAUCAUAAUUGGGUCCAGCCAAAACAGUUCCCAAUGGUGAUAUAAUAACACUGCCUCCAGCACAGACAACAGAAUCGGGUGUGAGGUCUUCUUCCACGCCCAAAAAGACAUACUCUGGGGGAGGUGGGUAAUCCUUCCUCCGGCAAAACUGGUUGGCAGAUAGUACAAAACAUCCUCCCUCAAGAGCAAUGUGGGUCAUCGUUGCUUGCCAAGUAUCCCUGGAAUCAGCUGUUGGUGCACAAUAUAUUUCAAUACCUACAACAUAAAAAAGUAUCACGAGUUAAUGAAAAGGUACAGAAGAUGCAGUCAAAAUAGAGAAUUUAAAACAUAAAGCACACAGCAAUCUGAUUCAGCCAAACAAUAACGAGAAAUAUAUCAUAUUGAUACUAGUUAUAGUCAAGCAAUGUAAAUAACUUUCCAUGACCUUCAAUCACUACAACGAAAAAAUAUGACUUCAUAUCACUUAACAGCUCAUGUCUAAACAGAAUGAGGAUAUACAAACUCCACUAGAGUAUUCAAAUUGACAUUGACAAUUCUAGAACAUGAAGAUUACAUGUUGCUGUGAGCAAACUACUAUUGCAACUAUGGGAAUGAGCAGCCUGAUACUAUUAAACUCCAAAAUGCGAUAUCAAGCACAGGCAUGGACAUAGAAGAUGAACUACUUAGCUAAACGUUCAAUAAAAUCUCAACAAACGCAUAAAUGCACAGAAAAAGAGAUGUUGGCAAUGAUCUAUGCAUUCAACUCUAUCCUAGCACAACUCUGAAUCAGCUCUUUUAAUUGAGCUGAUCUUGCAAAGUAAGCAGUGAAUAAAACUCAAAGCUCGGAUCAAAAUUGGAACACGGCACAGACUAAACACAGGAAGACACAAAAACACACACCCAUUAUGGAUCAGCCACUCAAGCACACAUCCACACAGGCAUUCAUCUGUUGUCCAGCUAAAACUGUCAUCCUGAGAGGGCCACCCAAGAGUGAAUGUACUAAUGCAGGAAAGAUUCUCACCCAUGCAUGAAUUGUAGGACUAGAAGUGCAGUUACUCUUAGAGAGAACUAUCAGAAUAACUCACCUUUACCAUACAUUGCAGUCCUUAGGAGUGGCAUUCUAUUUUCCCAACAGAUAGCGGCACCAAUUUUCCCAAUCGGAGUCCCAAAAACCGGAAUCGUUGAUCCAUCUCCAAAACCCCAUACUAUACGCUCCACCGCCGUCGGCAUAACUUUCCUAUGCUUCCCCAUGUAAUGACCUUGAGAAUCAAAAAACAACACGGUACAGUAGAGUGUAUAUCCCUCCCUCUCAAUCACACCCAUCACCAAAUACACCUUAUACUUCCCAGCCAUUGCAGCCAAACGGUCAACUUCUGGACCUAUAUUUUACAUAAAUCACCAAUAACCACUUAAUUAAUCAAAAACCAAACCCUUAAUCAAUCAACUAGCAAACCCUUAAUCAUUCAACAAAAUAAAUUCAUAAAAGGAAAAACUUUUAGUCUUAUUCUUACAUACCAGGAACAUCAAUGGCUGAAGCAUGAUACUUUCUGAAAUCCUCUCUACCUUUAGCUGUACGACUACCAAUGGUAGCACCAAAACUUGAUCCUCUAGGAUAACCACCAAUAAAUGCUUCAGGAAACACAACCAAUUGAGACCCAUAUCCAGCUGCUUCAGCCAGAAAUCUCUCAGCCUUAUCUUUACACAAACAAGAAUCAGAACUUAGAACAUGACAACUAACAAAAGAAAUCUUCCUUUUCUUCUGGGGCAUAAAGAAUCGAAGUACCUAGAGUGGCAGGAGUGUCAUAGAAGACAGUGGAGGCUUGGAUAACAGUGGCACGGACAGUCGUUGCUGAAGAAUCGGAACACAUGUCUACUUCUGCAAAAAGUGGGGUUUCUGAUGGUGGGGCAGGGACAAGAGCCAUGUUGUUGGUCUGUGUGGAGAGCGCUGUUGGGUCUGCUGCUGUACUUGUUGUAUGAAGUGAUGAUGAAACUGGUACAGUUGCUUGCAUGACUCUUCUAUCUCGCUUCUGUUAGGUACAAGAGAGUUCUGGAUUGAUCAAGCUUCUUGUUAGGGAUGGCGAAUGCCGAGUUUCUUUAUAUUAAUGUAUAUAUUGACUUCAGGUUUUCAUUGCAGCUCUAAAGACAAAAUUAUUGUGGAUUGUUAUACUAAAAUUUAUCUGAGUAUGAUCGUAAUUAAAAAAAUUACGAGAAUGCUUUAAUAUUUUUCAUAUUACUUUUUCUAUUUUUUAUUUAAAAAACUGUUGGCUAUGCUCCAUAUAUCCUAGUGUGUGGUUGGCACCAACGACAUUAAAAAAACACGUGAAACGUCUUUUAAUAAUUAAAUCUAGCCAUACACUCUCUAGAUAGAUAAGCAGACAUGCUCUCUUCCAUAUGAUACGGUACAUGUAAAGAUAUUAUGGUUGGAUUAUCGUUGAUGAUCAAUUGUUUGUGUUUUUUUUCUUUUCUCUCAUGACAACUAAAAUGUACAAUUGUUAUCUGUUUGUUUGUUGUUUGCUUGGGUCUGGCAAUCAAACUAGACUCCAGCUACUUGAGUUUGGGUAUCAUGCUAGACCCAAGGUCCUUGGGUCUGACAACAAUACCAGACCUAAGAGCCUUGGGUCUGACAACCAUAUUUGAUGUCAGAUCCGAGCGCGGGCUGACAAUCAUGUUUAGUGUCAGGCUAAGGCGUAGGGGUCUGGCAUGACCACCAGUCCCAGGCGCGGGUCUGGCAUGACCUCUAGACCUGGGCUCUUGGGUUUGGCUUGACCACUAGACUCAAAGAACUUAAAAUAUUCUCUAUACUUUAAUAUUUUUUUAUAUUUAAAAAAUAAUAUUGACCCAUUGCGAAAUGCGAGCAAAUACAGAGAGAGAGAUUUGAGUAGGUUUUUUAAUCGAAUUUAUCAAUAUUUAUAUUUCACUUUUUUUUUCAUUUUUCUUCUUUCUUUUUGCAAAACUUUAUAUUAUCCAUUGAUUUUCUACAAAAUCUUUAUUUUGGAAGUUUUGUGACCACAAAAGUUUUGAUUGGAAGGAUGAAGUGUUCUUGGCUCUUAUUAAAAUCAACGCAAAUUAAAAAAUGAGUAAAUUAUAGUUAGGUCCCCGUUUUUAUAAUUUUCAAGUUAGUCCUUUUAGCUUUAAAAAUCAUAAAUUAAUCCCUUCUAAAGUUGACCGUUGAUUAUUUUUCUAAAACACCGUUUUCAAACGCAGAAACGAGAUUGCAAUGUAUUAAGAAGUUUGAUUUUAAAGAUAAUUUUAUAAAUUAAAAAAACAGAAGUAUUAAUUAUUUAUAUUUACGAUAUAUAUUGGUUUUCAAUAUUAUGAUCCACUGUAAAACUUUUAUGAUGAUAUUUUUAGAAUUCCCUUCUGAUAGUACAUGUUUCUUUCUUUUUUAUAUAUGCUAGUUUUUUUUAUGUGUUUUUGUAGCUAAGAGAUUUUUUUAAGUGCGAAUCAAAAAGUUUAUGUAUAUUUGUAAUCAAACAAAUUGAAAACUAUGUGAGUUGAUAAUUUAUUUUUAGAAAAACAUUAACGCUAACUAAAAAUAAAAUCAGAAAAAUUAAUAGACAAAUAUAGAUCAAGAUAUUUAAUCUUACAAGACAUGAUAUUUACUCGGUUGUUUUUUCUAAAUCUUCUUAAUCAAAAUAAUUUUUUUUAUCCAAUCAAAUGAUAAUAGAAAAAAACAUACAGAUUAAAUUGUUUGAAUAAGAUAAAAGGAAAAAAUAUUAUGCAAGACUACACAUAUUAAAAAAAUUAUAUGAUUUUUUAUUUUAAAAAAUAAAGUACUUCUAUACAAAAGAUUAAAAAAUCACAGAUGAGUGAUAUUAAUUAAUAAAUAAAUUUAAAAAUUGUUUUUUUAAAAAAAGAUAUUAAAAAAGGUAUCAAUAAAAAAAAGAAAUUAAAAAAAUAAUAAUCUUGGUGUUGUGGCUUAACUUGUCAAAUUCAUGAUCUAGAUUAAGGACUCGAACAAGUUAAAUAAUAUUUUUUUAUCUUAAAUUUAUAUAAAUAUAAAGAGGGCAAAAAAAAAGGUAAAAAAAUAACAGUAAUUUAAAAGAGAUUUUAUAAACAAAAUAAAAUAAAAGAAAAGUGUUAAUCUAUAUAUAAAUAAAAAAAAUCUUGGUUAGGGCCCACGCACAUGGGCCCUUUUUUUAUGUUGUCGUCUGCAUCAUUUUUUUGAGAAAAAAAAAUCAGGUACAUCAUCAUCUGCUGCGGCAAAAAACAUAUGGCCUAUUUUUUCCAGAAUUUAGUUAUUGUGGUGGUUAAAAAAUCAAGCUAGAUGGUUCUUUGUCUCGAAAACCUAUUUUCAACUAUUUUUUAAUUCAAAACACUCAAAAAACACCAUAAAAACGAUAAUAAACCUUUUCACAGCCUCUAAAAUCCCAGAAAAGUCUUAAAAUCAGCAAUCAAUCCAAAACAAAAAAUCUUUCUAAUCUCAGAUUUGUGUUUUAGAAAAUUUCAAGGUAAAAAAAUCACAUAAUAUGAAUUCUCCUCAUCAAAUGGAAUCAUUUGAAGAAAAAAAAAAGAUGAAUCGUUUUGGUGGCCUAAAUCACAAAAUCAUCAAUCAACCAAGAACAAAAAAUCUUUUUGAUCUUAGAUUUGUGUUUUAGAAAAUUUCAAGGUAAAAAAAAUCACAUAAUAUGAAUUCUCCUCAUCAAAUGGAACCAUUUGAAGAAAAAAAAUAGAUGAACCGUUUUGGUGGCCUAAAUCGACUUCAACAAUAUUUUCUCCCUUUACACCGGAAUCCGACAACCUCUAUCUCUCUCCUCUCUCAAGUUAGAGACUAAAGAAUAACAAAAAUAAACUUUUAUACCAAAAUAAAAUUAAUAAAAUACUGAGGUAUGAAGCAUUUAUAGUUUUUAAAAUAUGAGGACUAAGUUAAACUUUAUGUAAUCAUCACUUAUUUAUAGCGUCUUUUCUAUUUUGAUUCUAAAUUUUUUAUUUUUCACUCUUGGCCAAUACAUUUUAUUCAAUUUCCCUUGAAAUUGACCCAAAAGGAUGCAAUCACAAAUAAAAAACAUUUGAGAAUCAAAUUAAAAAAUAUAAAAAUUACAGAGUCCAUCCAUAAUAAUAUACUAAUAUCGACAAGAGCAACAGAGGAACACAACAGCUGUUCAAGGAGAAAGUAUAAUUUAGAAAACAAUCUGCAGAUAAUUUCCGACAUGGCAAAAAAAAGUGAGUAGGAAUUAAAUAAGAUUCAAAACACUUAAUUUAUUUUGAUAAUUAACUCUUUAAUCACGAGAUGUUUCAUGCAUGGUUACUUUUUUUUAUCCCAUUUCCGAUAGAAGAUCUCUUCUGUGAUAUAUCUGGGCACAUAACUGUUCCCAUAGUUUCUCUGUGCCCUAAAAUAAAUCCCAUCAUCCCUCACUAGCCAAAUGAUUUCUCUCGUGCCGGUCAAUCCCUGUAGGUUAAAGUUUUUAUUCUUCUCAUGAUUAUCUGCAGACCAGAACACGUCGAAAGAAGCAUAACUCUUUCUGUCCUUGGACAUGGAGCACCAAAACAAUGUAGUUGCCCAGUAGAAGUUCUCUACGAAACGAAACACGAACCGGUCCUUGCUCUGAACAUGGUGGGGGCCAAGAUCAUCAUCUUUAGACUUGCAGUGCACAAACAACCUCUUGUUGUGGCUCAAUUGAUUGACGAUAUUUACUUUCCACCCCAUCUUUUCAGUCCACAGGUCCCAAGCUGCGGAGGAGGGAGUCAAGGCAUUUGCCAGGAGAAGAAACAACAUUAUUGUAUAUUUGAUAUCCAUUGUUUAAACCCUUCUUUUUAUUCCUAAAUUUAUUCCCCUGCCUGGUGUCUCAAAGCACUCUCAAUAUAUAUAUAUAUAUAUAUAGUAAUUAAUGGCGUUACUUCGGUCAUGCAAUAAAUAUUAUUAAUUCUCAUUUCCGGGUUCCUUUGGAAAAUAAUUAAAGCUUACUUCUCUCUCUUAGCGACAUUAAUUAAUUUCUAGAUAAUAUCAAUUUAUGAUCUCAAAAAUGAUAGCGGGUUGAUUAGAUUUAAUAGAAUAUUUUUAUAGCGUAUUGAUAUUAUAUCACGAAAAACUCUUUUGAAACCCAUUUUUCUUUGCUUCUCUUUUAUGCUUUAAGAUUUCAAGAGUUUCUUGACUUUUUUUUUUAAAUUGUCAUGAUGGUAUUUUUUAAUUUUCUUGUCGUAGAUUUGAAGAAAAAAUUACUUUAAGAUUUGAAGCUCUGAAGCACUUCAAACUAAAUCUAUAUUUUUUAUUUAUUGUGGUAGACAUGCAAACCUAAAUGGGAUCUAAAGAUAUAUUCAUUUUACAGUUAAUUAAUUUUCCUUUCCUUAUUCUCCAACACGCCACCAAGUUCAAAAAACUUCCUGCUGUGAAUUUUACAUCUAAUUGUGAUAGUUGUGAGAAAGAUUACAAGGUUUUUUACACGUUGAAACUCUUUAAUAUCGAUUAAAGCAACAGAGAAACUCUCAAUUUUUCAACUUUUAUUCAUCAAAGUUAAUCAAGAAGAUAUUUACAUAAUUUGAAAUAGACAAAAGAAAUUAAAGAAUAUUAUUUUACUAAAUGUGGUAACUAAAUAAAAAUAAUUUUCCGUAAGGAAAAAAAGAUAAAAUCCUUAAGUUAUUGGUAAUUCCUCAACAAAAGCAUUUCCUAAUUAAAUAAAGUUCAACCUCAUACAAAAUAUUUACAAUUAAAUAAAUAUAUAUUAUAAAUUAAUGAAUUAAAUAAUUAAACAAAAAAUCAAGAGAUUUACGUCCUGCAUCACUUGUUUGUCCGAUCAAUGUACAUAUCAUAUAUUUAUUAUUUCUUUCUUAUUCGAUUCUAAUCAAAACCAAUUAGUUAAUUAGAUGUAGUAAAAUAUAUUUAUUAUUAAUAAAAUCUUUUUUCAUCUUUAAUAUUUAUUUAUAUUUGAUUAAUGAAUCUAGAGUAAAUAUAAAGUUCAUGAAAAAAAAACUUUGCAAAGAAAAUUAUAAAGUUAUUAUAAUUAUAAGAUUCAUAUUGCAUAAAAGCAUUGUUCCUAAAUAUUUCUGAUCAAUAUUAUUCAAUUAAGAUUAGAUAUUAAUUAGACUUGUUGAGACCAAUGCAUUUUAUAUUUUUUUCUUUUAUAAAAGGAAAUAAUCGCUCUCAUAAACUUGACGUAUAUAUGAGGGAGACCUGAAACUAAUAUACAGGUACUUGUCAUAUAAUAUGUACACUGAACUUAACCGCAAGAGAAUCUCAUAUGGAGAGAUCAUAUAUAUCUAUGGAAAGACUCUCAUGAUAGUUGUGUAAGUGAUUUUUAGACUUUAGAUCACUAAGUUAUCUUAUAUAGUGAGUGUUAUGCUUUGAUCUUGACUACACGUUAUCAUAAUCAGGGGUAACAAAUGAGCAGAUAUUGGGUAUAACAUAAACUAUAUAAAGAUAUUUGAGUAAUCAAGAGAGGAUUCAUCAUCCUAGGUGAAUUAGAGAAAAUGUCUAAUUUGUUCUCAAAUAGUAUUGAUUAUGAAAUCCUUGGCUAAGGUAGAAUGUCUUUUGAAAAAAAUUUUAAAAUCUUAUUCAAAUAAUCACUGACUAUUAUGUUGAGAACUAAAAUGAUUUAACAAAGUAGACAUACUCCAUGCUAUAAUAUUUAAACCGAAACAUUCAUGAUGAAGGGAUAGUAAUUACACUGAAAAAUCAGUCACUAAAAGGUUAAGUCAAACUACUUUUGACUUUCCUAAUAUAUGGGAUCAUAACAGAUUGCUAAAUAUUGUUCUUGAUCUUCAAAUAUAACAAUCAAUUAUUGAAUUGACAAUAAAUUAAAAUUUUAAAUUUAUUUAAUCUUAUAUUAUUUAGAAUUAUGAUUUAUAUUUGGGUCAACUUAUUAGGAAAUCUAAUGGGUCACACACAUAAUAACCAUUGAUAAAAAAUUAAAAUGAAAUGAUUAAUUAAGUGUGACUUGAUUGUCAAUAAAUUUUAGAAAUUGAGGACUAGAAUGUAAUUAAUAAAGAAGAUUACAAUUCUAGACCUAGAAAAAACAAGUAAGGACUUGAUUGAUUUUUUUUAAAUCAUCCUAAAAUAAUAUAUAUGAUAUUAUUUAAAAGGCAAAUUGAUAUUUUGUUAUUUAUAUGGUUUUUUUAGGUUUUCCUAUGAAUAAGAUGUUAUGCCUAACAAUCUCUCUCUUAAAAGGGUUUAGUAGAUUUUUCACUGGUGGUUCAUAUGGAUUGUCGUUAGAGACUGGACACUUAGACGACUUAUGGUUUGCGACAACCCAUUCUUGAAGCAAAUAUUCAAUGUAAAAAAAAGUAUAUGAUCUUUAGAUAAUCUUUCCAUAAAUCCUAAACAACUCUAAAUCUGUCUAACGAGAUCCUCAAGACUCUGAAAAAAUUUAAAUUUAUUAUUUUCACUGCAUGUAAGUGUUUUGAGAAACCUAAUACAAACCCCUUCCAAAUAAUUUUGACAAGAUAAUUUCUAUAAACUCCUUGCAUCUUAAGAAAUUACUUUCGAACCAAUUCGCCAAUAAAAAUAAUCACUCUUGUACUAAUUCACCCCAUUUAUAACGCACCAAAAUAGGACCUAAAAUAGGUUAUCUCUAUUCUUUUGAAAUCCAAAAGAAAAAAAGAUGUAGUUAGAAUGCAUGGAAUUAAUUUCUGACGUGGGGAAGAGUUUAUGAAGGGAAUAAGAUUAAAAGGUAGUACUUAUUUAAUUUGAAAAUUAACUCCAUAAUUAUGAGCCGUAUGGUUAUCAUUUUUUAUCCCAUUUUUUGUACAAAAAGACCUUCACGGGAGGUUUGGAGAAUAUACAACUGAAAAAACAAGCUUCUCGUCUCUUCAAAUAAAUCCCAUCAUCUCUUGCUACCCGGAUGACGUUACUGCCUACGGUAUCCUUCUCUAGGUCAAUGUCCUGAUUCUCUCUGCGUAGAAAUCCAGGCCAGAAGACGGUGAAAGUAGCAUCGAUUUUCCUGUCCCGGGACAUAUAGCACUUAAAUAUUGUUGCCCCGAGGAAGUUUUCCAUGAAACUAAACUUGAAUUCAGCCUUAUACUUGAGAUUGUGAUGGCCAAGAUUGUCAUUAUAAGAUACGCAAUGCAAAUACAACACCUUGUUGUGGCUCAAUUCGUUGACAAUAUGCACAGUCCACUUGAAGGGAUUCCAUAUUUUGAAAGCUACAGAGGGGCUGACGGCGAUUGCCAGAACAUGAAAGAAUAAUAUUGCAUGUUUUUUUAACCAUCUAGUAGGUGUCCAGUGGUAAGAGCUUGGAAUUAAAGAGUUUGCUCUCCCUGUUAUCUCAGGUUCGAGCCUUAUGGUUGCUAAUAUGAUGACCACUAGAGGCUUACAUGAUCGUUAACUUCAGGGCCUGUAGGAUUAGUCGAGGUGUGUGCAAGUUGGCUCGGACACCCACGUUAAUAAUAAUAAAAAAAUAUAUUGCAUGUUUGGUAUGGAGGGAACUCAUUGUUUCAGCACAUUAAAUUAUUAUUUUUUUCUUUUUAUACCUCAAAGAAAAUGAUAAAUCAGGCAUGCAUUAUACUUGGAAGCAUCGUUACAAUAAUCAAUGGCAUUUCGGUUUCCCAAAAAAAAAAAAUUAUCAAUUCUCUUUCCAUUUUUUGGAGCCAUUUUUAAACUCUAGAUAAUAUCAGUUUAUAAUCUAAAAAUGAUAGCGUAUUAAUUAGAUUUUUCAAUUCCCAAAACCCAUUUCUAUUUUUCAUUUUUCGAGGACAAAAACCGUGUCUAAUUAAUCUAUACAUAUAAUGAAAUAAAUUAAUCACAAGGCUAUACAAAGAGUUCGCAAUUGACCCAUAAUUCUUGUUCUGUGAUUGACUAGGUUUAAUUAUGUCAGGAUUCAUAAGAAGAAACUAAUGAAAAAUGCAAAAAAGGAAAGGAUUCCAUAUAUAUGGGCAGCAAGCAUUCGUAUGUAAUAAUUUUUUUUUUUUAAAAAAACAGAGAUUUUGUGUUAAAAACUGGAACCGUAAGGAAAUGUUUGCGAUCCUCUUCAUUUAAACUAGGAGGUGAUGAUUUGUGGUAGUAUUCUGAAAGUGAACAACAGUUAAAUAUUUAUCGACAUUGUUUUUUUUUUUUUUUUUGUAAGUGAAAGUUCUAUUUGUUGAGAUAGAAAAAAGUUUUUUAUAUAAAAAGGAUUUUUGCUUAUAAUUCUUGUUUAACUAGAUAAUAAUUUUUUAUUGAAUUAAUGUUUAGAAUAUUUAUUGGAAUUGGAUAGUUUUAACUUAUAUUAUAACAAAAGCUAAAUAGUAUGGAGUUUUCACUGUUUAUCAUUUUAUUGUUCAUCAAGACACAAGUCAUUGUAGAUUGGAGCUGUGUAAUAAUAUGGUUGUCCUUACCAAAGAAACUUGUUAGGUAUGCAGUUAGGGGUGAGGUUGUCUUUUUCAUUGGAUACAUUUAGCAUUGAAAGAUGGUUGGAGACAGAAAGGUCCAUUCAAGUUUUUUGGGGUCUGCCGCUGGGGUAUGACAUGACUACCAGAUACUAGGCACUGAUAUCAGGUAUGUCUGUCAGACCCUAGGCGCUCGGGCCACAUCAGCGCGCCUGGGUCUGGCAUCACACAUGAUUGUUGUUAUUAUUAUUAUUAAAUUUAAAACAAUAUUAUUACUAUUGAAGAGAACCAUAUAUUUGAUUUGAAGGGUAAAAUUAAAAACCUGUAAGAACUUGGGUUAGACAUGUUUAAUAUUAUUAUAAAUAUUAUAAAUAUUAUUAUUUUCAUUAUUAUUAAUAAAUUUGAAAAAAAAUAUUAUUACUAUUGAACAAAAACCAUAGAUUUGAUUUGAAAGGUAAAAUUAUUAUUAUUAUUAUUAUGCAAUCAUGUUUGGUCUUGUAAGGAGUAAUUAUGUCGAUGAAAGGAGUUUCAAAAGUCCGGAACAAGAUCAAAGAUACAUUUGCAUCCAAAACCAUCCCUUAUGACCAACUAACAUAUGGUGAGUUAGUCAGCUUUACCCAAAAGAAAGGUCUUAGGAUCGGCCAAGACCUUAAGCUCCAAAAACACUUAAAGUGGGAAAUGAAGCGAACCUGACAGGAACUAGGAAGCUUCUGCCAACAGUUUGACCUGUCUAUAUAAAAACCCUUUUGUAGUGGAAACUGCUCCAAGUCUAAACCACAUCCAAAGCUUAGUAAAUUGUAUUACGAGAAAUCAACCCACAUAAAACAUUUCUACCCCAAACCAGAACAACCUUGCUACAAAAAAACCCAUAGAAAAUUUUCAAAAACCGACAAACCUUCAUAGUCUAAGCCCAAACUCAAGCUUGACUUAAAACACAUUACCUGUUGCAAAUGUGGCCAGAAAGGUCAUACUUCCCGAUUCUGCAAAGUAAACACAAAAUUACAUGAGCUCCAAAUAGAUGAAGAAACAAUCAACCAAAUCCAAAAUCUCUUCAUUGAGUCUUCUGAUACCGAGUCAAACCCUUCAGAUACUUCUUAAGAAACUUUUCAAGUUGAUGAAUUGGCAACUGCUAGUUUUGAUUCCAAGACUUCAUCCCACUCAAAACAGCUCAAUUUUUUAACCAGAGACCAAGAAUUCAUCAUUGAAGCCAUCAAAAGAGUAGAUGAUCUCCAACUACAAAAAUCCUAUCUAGAUAAGAUAUUGAAUAAUUUCAAAGCCUUAAUAAGAGCAAAAGGUUGUUCUUUGUUUGGUAUCAGAGCCUACUGGGAUCUAGGUAGAGAGAGUAUCUUAAAAGUCCAUGUUCAUAGUAGAGAGAAGAAAUUAGAAGUAUAGGUGAACGCUACUGAAUGGUAAGAAGUCCCGUUGAGUGAUGAAAGGGCAGUAAACCCAUAUAACCUACGACCUGUAUUUUGAGUUUUGUUUUCUAAUUAUGGAUUCUGUUUUUUUCAGAACAACCUCUAUUUCAUCUUCUUCUACCUCUGAAUCUUCUGAAAGCAAAAGAAUUAUCAAUAGUGAAGAAAUUACAAUAGAAUAUUUUACAAAAAGCAUUGAUGAUUGGAAAAUCCCUAAAGUUUCAAAAACUCAAAUUUAUCAAAAUUUCAAAUUUGAUCUUUUCAAAACAGAUUUCACAAUCAAAAUUGAAGAAAGAGAUAUUCAGCUUACAAAACCUUUUGAGACCAUUCAACUUCUUUCUAAAAAAUCCUUACAAAAACACCAAGACCGCAACUACAAAUACAUCCAUUUUUAUUCUGGUACAAGUUGGGAUCAAACCCCUUACCAAAGAAGGCCUUAAUACUUCCAUCCUAGCAGUUCUAAGAGAUGCUAGAUUCCAAAACUUCCAAGACUUCUUAUUAAGUUCCAUCGAAUCUAACCUAUGCAAUGGGCCAGUUUCCUUUGAUUGUUACCCAAACCAUACUAUAUCCCUUAAAGACUGAAAUAUUUUAUAAAGCAUGAUCCUACAGAUAAAAACUCAUAAUUACAACAUGCUUGAAGGAUCAAUCCCAGUGGCCUUAAUCUUAAAAAUUUAUUAUAAAGCCAUGUUCUCAGCUUUUGCUAGCAAACACAAAUUCCAAUCCCAAAGAGGUGAAACCUUACUACUCCAAACUGACCUUUCCAAAUCAAACACAGUAGUUCCUAGAGCCAUCUAGUGGAAGGAUGUAACCCUUUCAGAAGAUUGGAUCCUUGAAGGUGCAACACAACCAGAACCAUAACAAAUACCAAAACCAAAUGUUCAAAUAAAAGAGAUAACCCAGUACACAGAUGGAAAAGUCAAAUUAUCUUUCCAUCGACAUUCAACUAGUUCUCGGUUUUCGGAUGUAUCUUCCUCAUCCAGCACUAUAGAUCUAGGAAGAGUCUCUAAAAUUCCUUAUGUCAUAAACAUACCAUACCAAAUGAAUCCACCUAGAAAAUCAACCUCUGAUAUACCAAGUACUAGCUUUCAAAAUGCAGAUUACACUAUAAAUAUACCUAAAUCUUUAUAUACAAACCCUGAACAGCAAUCCCCUCCAACCUCUCCGACUUUUUCCUUAAUCACAGAAAACAUCCAAAAUGAGUUGAAGUUUUGACUUCAGAAAAGGAAUUUAUAAUUAACAAAACCUAUUUCAAAAAUGAUUUUUAUAGCAACCAUAACUCUGAAAAAAGAGCUUGGUUUUUCAAAACCUUUUUACAACAAAGACACGAGAUGCAAAAGUGUUUUUAUGAUUUCAUUACAUUACAUAAAGUUCAGAUCCUAUUUUUCGAUUGGUUUGAGUUAUAUUAUGCAUCUGCACAUCAUAUUACAUAUCCAUUCGCAUCAACAAAACAUGCAUGUCCCAUAACAUCUAGAAAUAAAACUUCUGUUUGGGAACUUGCUAGUGGUCCUUCAAUCGAGUCAGACCAUCCGCCUCUAAGGAACCUCAAAGUCCCUCAUAAAGACCAAAUAGUUGAAGCUGCUCCCUACAAAAUUCCCGGUGAAGAUGUUACUAUGAACACCAAACAUAUUAUCGAGCAAAAAAACUUAACCGAUACCAACCUCAAUACCAUAAGCUACAGACCUCAAUAAUAAUAAUAAUAAUAAUAAUAAUAAUAUUAUUAUUAUUAUUAUUAUUAUUAUUAUUUUAAAUUUUACUAUUCAAAUCAAAUCUAUGGUUUUUGUUCAAUAGUAAUAGUUUUUUUUUCAAAUUUAUUAAAAACUAUAAGAACUUUGAUCAGACAAGUUUAAUAUUAUUAUUAAUAUUAUAAAUAUAAUUAUUAGGUAAGUCAGAUCCCAGAAACUUGAGUCUGGCAUGGCCGCCAGACCCAAGGGUAUUGAGUCUGGCCGGCCACCAGAUCCAAGGCUCUUGGGCUUGACUUGACCGCCAGACCUAAAAGAUUUGAGUCUGAAAAUGACCGCCAGACUCAAGAGAUUUGGGUCUGGCAUGACCGCUAGAUACAAGUCUUUUUUAAAAAUAUUUUUUAAAAUGUAAAAUAUUUUUUUUAAAAAAACAAAAUUAUUAUUGACCCACUGCAAAGCGCCAACCAAUAUACUAGUUUCUUCUAUAAUCUCUCACAUUCAUGUGCUCACAAUAUUUUGUAUGCACAUGAAGUUGUUCCAUGACCACUAGAUGAACCUCCUAAGAUUUUCCAAGCACUAUCCCUUAUGCUUGCUUUUAUAGUUUUGUUUUUGUCAUUGUUGACCUUAUCCUUGCAAAUAUAACAGAAAUUAUAAAAAAAACGUUCAGGUGCGUGAAUCUCGAGCAAGUCGGCUUCCUAGGGAUUUUAUUUUUUGUUUUUUUGUUUUAUCAUUUGAAUUUUUUAUGUUUAUUUUUCUUGUUAAUUCUUUUAUAUCAAUUUCUUCAUUUAAUACUUUAUUUAUUUUGAGUAGAAUUGGAAUAUAUAAUUUGUUUUAAAAAAACAAAAUAAUGAAAACAAAAUAAAAAAUAUCAUUACUAUUAAAAAAAAUUUAUAAAUUUUAUUUUAAUGGUAAAAUUAAAAAGUAGUAGUACUGCUGCUGCUACCGCUAUUAUUAUUACCACUACUGCUAUUUCUACUACCACUGUCACUGCGCCUAUCACCACCACCACCAUCAUUUUUUGUAUGCACGUGAAGUUGUUCCAUGACCUAUAGAUGAACCUACUAUGAUUGCCCUUAUGCUAGCUUUUAUAGUUUUGUUUUUGUCAUUGUUGAGCUUGUCCUUGCAAAUAUAACAAAAAUUAGAAAAAAACGUCCAUGUGCGUGAAUUUUAUUGAGGCACAAGCACGUUGGGUCAAGCAAGUCGGCUUCCCAGGGAUUUUAAUUUUUAUUCUUUUAUUUUUUCAUUUGAUUUUUCCUUUUUCUAUUUAUUUUUCUUCUUAAUUCUUUUAUAUCAAUUUCAUUAUUUAAUAUUUUAUUUAUUUUGAAUUGAAUUGGACUAUAUAAUUUAUUUUGAUUUGAUAUUUAUAAAUUUAUCAUAAUUUAAAAUAAAUACCUUGAUAUCUAGUUGAUACAAACAAAAACAAUUUCAAAAAAAUAAAAUAGCAAAACAAAUUAAGUCCAUCACCCAGCUUAUAAUUAUAUAAUAAAACAAAAACAAUUUAAAAAUUAUUUAACACAUUGUCAUGAUUCAAAUCAUGAAUUUAAAUAAUUAAAUUGUGAAUCCUAGAUGAAUUCAAUAAAUAACCACCUUGAUAUUUUAAAAAUAGAAUUAUGUCAUCUUAUAUAUUUUUUUCACAAAUCUUUUGUACGAUCACUUUACAGUGACGAGGACGGGCUGCUAAGCAAUUAUGGUCUAACCAAGGUGAUUGAUUCCACCCCUAAUGUCAGGUUGCAUGUGGUAAAUAUGGUCUAACCAAGGUGAUUGAUUCCACCCCUAAUGUCAGGUUGCAUGUGGUAAAUAUGGUCUAACCAAGGUGAUUGAUUCCACCCCUAAUGUCAGGUUGCAUGUGGUAAAUAUGCCUGAAGCAUGCUCGUCUCCAAACAAUGCAACGAGGCCUGUUUGUUGUCGGGCAUUAAUGUUAAAAAUGGUGUCCUGAAGUGUUAAAAUCACAACUAUUCAUAGAAUAAUGUCUUUUAGUGGUUGAAUGAUUGAUCGGUGAAGUGCCUUUUUAAAUAUAUUUUUUUAAUAUUAAGAUAAAUUUUCUUGAUGAAUGCUCUACACUUGUUAAAAAUCCUUUUCUAGUGUGUUUGAAGCUAUUUUAAUGAUAAAAUCACUAAUCUUGUAAAUAAAAUGAGUGAUAAUUACAUUUAAAGAGUUUUAAAUUAUAAGAUUUAAGUUGUUGUUGCGUUAAAUUUGUAUCUUUUUAAAGUUAAAAAAAUAUUUGCUCUUUACCAGUAAUUCAAGAGGUAUUUAUAACUAUUGAACCUUGUUUUUAUCUUGAUUGGAGAGACUUGAGAGUAAUUUCACAAUGACAACAUUUAUGAUGAAUAAAAUAUCUCUUACACAAGCAUUAAUAAAAAUUAAUAAGUAUCGACAGAAAAAUAAAAAAAAAUAAACUUAGCAUAUAUUUUUCGGCUUGGAUUUCAACCUGAGCCCAACCCUUUUCCUAGGUUCGGGUAUUCUAACUGAGCCAUUAAAAAGUAUUUGGAAAUGGAUCAAAAUAUUUUGAGUCCAUGGCCAUUAUGGGUAAAAAUCUUGAUCCGUCAUGGUGAAACCAGGGUUCUCUCAACUGCUUCCAAACUUUUAUUAUAAAACCUCGAUUCACCUGGCAGGUUAAUUAGAGUUUCUGAGUCUAAAUUGAUCCAAGUUGAAAAAAAAAUUGAUUAAAAAAAAUUCUUGACUAACUUUGUCAAAAAUCAAAGUCAAUUUACAACUCGGUUAAAACUUAACCCGUUAAAAACUCAUCCCUCAAUCUAUUGAUUUUAUUUUUUUUACUAAAUUUUUUUUUACUAUGCUGUUUUGAUUCCGUGAUUUGAGUCUUGUUGGAAGUCAAUUCCGGAUCAAAUUUUCAACUAUGGAUAUGGCACUGUAUAAGGACUGGAAUUCUGAGUCUAUAUGUUCAAAUCAGAGUGAUAACAAGUAACAACCACGGAGUGAAAGUUGUAGUUUUGAUUUGUACUAGAGUACAUGAAUAUGCUAAUAGAUAUAAACUAGUCCUGGGUUGUAUAAUAUUUUUUUGAAAAAAAAAUGUAAACUUUUCAAAUAUUUUUUUAAAAUUUAAUUAUAAAUUAAAAAGUCUAUAUAUACAAUUAAAUAUAUUGAGAAUUAUUUAUACUAAUAAAUACAAAAAACAAAGUAUUAAUAUAUCUAUUCAACUUGUCUCGUUGCAGGUCGAAUAAAUUUAUUUUUAAUAUAAAAAAAUUAAUGUGUCCGUGUUAUUAAUGUGUUUUUUGAUAUUAAUUAAAAAAAAUAUAACCACGAAUCAGCUGCAUUGUUUACCCUCUCAUGUUUAAGAGGAAAAUAUUUGAGGUGAACAAUGUAUAACUGCAUUGUUUACCUUCUCAUGUUUUAUUGUAGAUGGUAUUGUUCACUUUUUUUUAAGUUUGCUAUAAAUUUAAGGAGAAAAAAAUAUUAAACCUAAUUGAGUUUAUAGUUCGGGUUCAUCCUAAAUAAACUAAAGCGUGUGAGGUGAAUAUUGUGUAGUCGCACUGUUCAUCCCCCAUGUUUUACUGUGCACGACAUUAUUUACUUUUUUUUUUAGGUUUGCUAUAAAUUUAAAGGGAAAAAAUAUUAAACCCGGUUAAGUUCAUGGUCUGGGUUCACCCCACAAGUUUUAUUGUGGACGACACUGUUCACUUUUUUUGUUUAAGAAAAAAUAUUUUUUUCUCUAUUUUUUUAAAAUUAAUUUUAUUUUUACCUAUAUUUAGAUUAAUAUUUUUUAAUUUUAUUUAAAAAGUCGAUUUAAAAUAAACAAUUAUUUUUUAAUUUUUGUACAUGAGAUGCCUUCCAUGUGGACAGGUGCAUUCCAUGCAUGUGGACAGGUGCUUGAGCAAUAGGUGCCUUAAAGAUGGCUAUAUUAGGGAAGUAUCAUGUGCUAGGAAAACACAGAGAGUGGCUACCAGGGGAGCUGGUACUGAUUCAUGGGGAGUGUUUCACUUGUCUCAGCAGCCCUAAGAAGGUAAUUGAUUUUCAAUUUGCUUUCUUUGAGUAAAUUAUUCUUUAGUUCAUGUGGGAUUUGAGCACUAUCAUGGCUUCCCUUCCUUGGUUUUUGUUAACUCUAGUCAUGUUAAAAAUAUAUGUUCGUUUUCCCCUAAAUUCUCACUAUGUUCGAUUUUAUUUAUGAAUUGAAACGGUUUCGGGAAAAACCAACAUGGUGAGAAGUUAGAAGAACAAAAAAAUGAUGUCUGAUUUGCUUAGCUAGAGCCUACACGCUAAUCUCUUGCAGGUAACGAAAGCUUUUUGCUGGUGUUGUAGGCUAGAAGGCAAGGUGGCAUUGAUCACUGGAGGGUCUAGUGGCAUAGGAGAGUCCGCUGCUAGACUGUUCGCCAAACAUGGAGCUAAAGUGGUGAUUGCAGACGUUCAAGAUGAACUAGGCCACUCUGUUUGCGAAGAAUUGAAGACUGAAUCAGCCUCAUUCGUCCACUGUGAUGUUACUCAAGAAAAAGAUGUUGAAAAUGCUGUUAACACAGCUGUUUCUAAGCAUGGAAAGCUGGACAUCAUGUUCAAUAAUGCAGGAAUAGUAGGCACGCCAAAACCAAACAUACUUGACAAUGACAAGGCUGAAUUUGAGAAGGUCAUUAGUGUUAAUGUCGUGGGCGCAUUCUUAGGCACUAAGCACGCAGCCCGCGUAAUGAUCCCUGUUCGGCGAGGUAGCAUAAUCUCAACCGCUAGCGUUUGCGGAACAAUUGGAGGUGUUGCAUCACAUGCCUACACAAGUUCAAAGCAUGGCGUGAUAGGGUUAAUGAGAAACACAGCUGUGGAGUUAGGGCAGCAUGGCAUCCGUGUAAAUUGCGUGUCGCCCUACGUUGUUUUGACCCCAUUGGUGAAGGAUUUCUUUAAGCUGGAUGAUGAUGAAGUAAAUCGUCUUUACUCUAAUCUGAAAGAAGCAGUUCUGAAAGCAGAAGACAUUGCGGAGGCUGCUCUUUUUCUGGGGAGUGAUGAGUCCAAGUAUGUUAGUGGACAUAAUUUGAUUGUAGACGGGGGCUUCACCAUUGUUAAUCCAGGUUUUUGUAUGUUUCCACAAUCUAUUUGAAUCUGGAUUUAUGAUGAAAUUAACGAUGAAGCCAUAAAUUUAAGCAAUAAGAUAAGUCUUCUUUAAUUUGAUAAUCAUUUCAGUUUCAAGAUAUGUUAUUUUUCGACGAACUCUUUCCACCUUCCCUUUUCAGGCAAAACUUGCGGUCAGAACAAGAUGGCAUUGUUAGAAAUUAAGUCGUAAUACACCCAAAAUCACAAGCAAUUUUUUUGAAAAAAUUGUAGCCAGAAGUAAUUUUCUCCGUGGAUAUUUUCUUGAAAAAAAUUAUUUCUGGGGUACUAUCAUUUAAUAAUAGAAAAACUCUUGCUUGAAAAAGAGUGCUGACAAGCAAUUCUCUAAUUGUACUACUACUACAGCAGCCACUCAGGACAAACACAAAGUGCUGGAAGAUAUUGACUGAGUGUGGAAGUUUUAGUUUUGAUUCGUGCUGGAGUACAUGAAUCUGCUAUUUACUCUGCUCCUAUGAUUCAAAGAUUUAGAUUUUUUUUAAUUAACGUACAUUUGAGUAUAUUCCAGCAGUUUGCACCCACCUUAUUAAUUUUAUAAACUAAAUUAAUAAUCCAAUUCUUUAAUAACCUUAAAAUUUAUAAGAUUCAAAUUAAUAAUUUUUAAAAAAUAACUUGAAAAGUUAAAAUACACCCUUUGAAUUUUAAAGAUAUAGAUAUUGAUAUACGCCGUGCUGAGUUUGAUAUAUUUUCACAUCAGUGUUCUGUUUUUAAGCACAAAGCAGAGAAAGAGAAGUGUCUUGGGACUUGGGAGAGCGGACAAAAUCCUGUAGUCUUGGGACUUGUUCAAUUUCUAAAAUCUAUGGAGUGUGGACCACCAAAAGGCAAAAUUCUCAACAAAGGAAUAAGAGAGGACAAAACCCUAAAGGCCAAAUUCUCAACAAAGGAAUAAAUGACAGAGUAAAAAUGGCACGAGAAAGAAGAUAAGAUGUAGACAUGAUGAUUAAAGAAAGUAUUUCAAGUGUUCAUUUUUUUAGUUGCAUGAUUAUAAUAAAGCAUCAUGCCUAAAUUUGACUAAGGCAUCGAGUAAAUUAUUUUGAGCACUAUCAUGGCAUGGCUUCUUCGAUUUUUGUUAACUUAGCAGCAUGUUUUCAACACUCCUCGGCUUGGUCCAAACCAAGACUGCAGAUUCAGAAUUUCCUUGUCGAAUGGCCUGUUCUUCUGUCCAAUUAAAAACAUAUCUUCGUUUUUCUCUAAAUUAUAUUCUCACUAUGUUUGAUUUUAUUCAUGAAUUCAAAUGGAUUAGGGAAAAACCAACACGGUGAGAAGUUGAAAGAAAAAAAAAUUGAUGUCUGAUUUGGUUAGCUAGAGCCUACAUGCUAAUCUCUUGCAGGUGAUCUAAUGAAAGCUUUUUGCUGGUGUUGUAGGCUAGAGGGUAAGGUGGCAUUAAUCACUGGAGGGUCUAGUUGCAUAGGAGAGUCCACUGCCAGACUGCUCGCCAAACAUGGAGCUAAAGUGGUGAUUGCAGACGUUCAAGAUGAACUAGGCCACUCUGUUUGCGAAGAAUUGAAGAUUGAAUCAGCCUCAUUCGUCCACUGUGACGUUACUCGAGAAAAAGAUGUUGAAAAUACUGUUAACAGCUGUUGUUGAAAAUAAACUAGAUUUUUUGUUCUUUAAAAUCAAGAUGAACAGUUGAGUCGGCAAAAUUACUUUCUAGUUAGAAUAAAUUUCUUGUUUGGUUCGAUUUUUUAUUUGCUUAGGACUUUAACUUGUAAUCAUAUUCAUAAUAUAGGCUGUUUCGUGUCCUUUAGGUUACUAGUCAGCCAUAUAUAGCAACUUGAUGAUGGCUUCAUGUGCAACAGUGCACAGAAAGACUUUCACCCUCUCUAUACCUUUCCAAUGCCAUAUGAGUCUCCAUAAAGGAUCUUUGUCGCGAUGUGCAUCCAAACUGCUCUGUUGCAGCCCAUAAGCUGAUUUGAUUGAAAACUCCCCACCUGAAGAUAAAUGCCAAUUCAUAGAGUCCCUCUCCAUGUCCUAUGCUGGUGGAGGACAACCAGCCAAAAUCAUCACCAUUUGCAGAGGCAGCGUGUGGGCAAAUUUGUCCCAGCACAGAUGCUUUCCGUCAUUUGCCAUGUCUGCAACUGUUAAAUUAAUCAUGUUCACUGGAACCUCUUGGAUGGAAUGGUUUAUUAAGGGGCCAAACCCAUCCAACCAGUUGUCUGUCCAAAAGCGAACCUGUGGCCACAUUUUGCAAAUGGCCUGUGAUUGAUCUUCCGAGUACGAAUAGCAACAUCAUGUACUAACUACUCGUACUUGGAGACUUUCAUGCCCUGUAAAUAAAAGAAAUCAUGAUGAUCACUUUUUAGUGGAUGAAUUUUGAGUCCCGUUAUAAUAUUGGAAAACUAGAUGCUACUACUUAUUAAGAACUUAUAAUUAUUUAAAAGUUUUUAAGUAUAGGUUUAUUCUCAUUGGGUUCCACAUAGCUACUUAAGAAUUAAUAUAGAUGAUAGACAUAGUACCCUCAAUCUUUUAAAAAAUUUUCAAAUAUAAAUUAUUGUUCUUUUGUAUAUGAAAGAUUUAUUUUAGCCCAAAUGCAUAUUUUUAUAUAUUUUUUCUGGCUUCCCUUAUUUUUAUACGAACAAAAUUCAUUAUUCUACCUGAAUUGAGAAAUUAAUUAAAAUCUUUAUAUAUUAUUAUAUUGUAAAGAUUAGGGGCUAUAAAUGAACCAAGUUUAUAACAAUAUAUUUUUAUCAAAACAACACUGGAUAAAUUAAGAAAGAUUAACGAGUAAAAAUUUUCUGAAACACUAACAUGCAUCAAUGAAAACGUGCUGCGGCAUGUAAAAAGUAAAAAUAGAAGUACAAAGUAACAGGGAAACCGUGAGUUUCCUGAAUAGAAGGCCUAGGAGUUGUUUGAAUAGGUUUUCUAACCGUCUAUAAAUUACCAUCUUAAUGCUUGCAAUUUCCUUCUAAAUAAAGAUUUUAGAACAACUUUUCCUCUAAUUUAUUUGUUAUUAUAAUGAAAAAUCACGUAGCUAUAAAACUUGGUCCAAUAUGUGAAUAAACCCAGUGACCCCAUCAUCUAGAGUGACAUAUUUCAUUUUGAAAUUUUUUUUUAUCAAAAAGAUGAUAUUCUUAAAAACUAAAACAAUGUAGUUAUAUAUUUUUUAUAAAAAAAAAUCUCAUAACAACAUUGUUUUAAUUAAAAAAUUAAAUUGACUCGAUAAUUUAUAAAUUUAUUUGAUGAAUGUACGAACAGGGUCUUUAACCGGGUUAGAUCCAAGUAAAAUAUUUCGACUAUGCUAUGAAUAAUUAAUGUAGAUGAGAAAGCCAAUGCAAUUAUUUUCAGCUUUCAUUAUUUGUAGGGCCAUUCUAUUUUGUUAGCCUAUGCGAUUUCAAGGAAGAUGCCAAUGUGAUAGAUCCAUUGUCUGAAAAUGAUGGCAACUUACAAAGUAGUGGAGAAGAAACGAUUUCUGUGUCGACACUCGACUGCGACUUCCAUUAAAAGAAGAGGCCAUAACUUUAAGAACUAAGAUAAUCUUCUUUAUAGACUUAUUUCAUUCUCAAGAUUUCUAGUCUUGAUCUGAAAAAAAUAAGAAUCUACUCUUACUUGCAAGAGCAUACCUAGCUCAUCAAAGUGAUCAAAUUAACAUGGGAAGUGUCUCGCUACUUUCUACAGUUGCAAGAAGGUAAUCUUAGUUUUGUUACCUUCAACACUUUGAACUAGCUAGCUGAGAAUCAAUCGAACCAGAUUGCUGUAAAAUAAAUGAAACGUUUAGCUUCUGAUCUGAUUUGUUCUUUUACUUCUUGAUUAAGAGAUAUAUAGACUGGAACUAGCCAGAUCAGUACCAUCUGUCUUCUGCUUAUCAUAUAGAAAGAAAUGUAGGCAUUAGGCACCUCAAACAUGGAUAUAAUGAUUCUCAAUUUUUUGUAUUGUUUCAAACUCAUCUUUUAUAUAAAAGAUUCUUGAAAUCUAUAGAGUGGCUUAGACUUCAAGAUUUUCAUUGGGUCACUGGGGGGCCUCUUUGAGGCUGAGCUAUCUUAUUGAAUUAGAUUUUUAAAUCUGAGUUCUAUAUAUUAAAGAAACUUUAAGUGGUUAUUCAAAUUAUUAGCAUGAAGCACGUUUUUGACAUGGCUGCAUUAUGUGGCCGUCGUGUGGAAUUUAUAGGCUAGAAGGUAAAGUAGCGUUGAUCACCGGUGGGGCUCGUGGCAUUGGAGAGUCAACUGCAAGACACUUCUUCAAACAUGGAGCAAAAGUAGUGAUUGCAGAUACUCAAGAUGAGUUGGCUCAUUCUGUUUGCAAAGAUUUGAACUCUGAAUCUGCUUCUUUUAUCCAUUGUGACGUUACAAAAGAAACGGAUGUAGAAAAUGCAGUGAACACAGCCAUUUCAAGGCAUGGCAAGCUAGACGUUAUGUUCAAUAAUGCUGGCAUUGUAGGAGUGGUGAAAACCAACAUGGUUGAUGUUUCCAUGUCUGAAUUCGAGGAAGUCAUUAGGGUUAACCUAGUAGGUGCUUUCCUGGGCACUAAACAUGCAGCUCGUGUGAUGAAGCCUGCUCGACAAGGCAGCAUCAUAACAACCUCUAGUGUUUGUGGUAUUCUGGGAGGUUUUGCAUCCCAUGCCUACACAAGUUCAAAGCAUGGCGUGUUAGGGCUAAUGAGAAAUGCAGCUGUUGAGCUUGGACAAUUUGGCAUUCGUGUAAAUUGCGUCUCCCCGUACACUGUUGCAACUGAAAUGUCAAGAAAUUUCUUGAAGAUGACUGAUGAUGAAAUUCGCAGUGGUUAUUCUAACCUUAAGGGGGCAAUUCUGACGCCUGAAGAUGUGGCUGAAGCAGCUCUCUACUUGGCAAGUGAGGACUCCAGAUAUGUGAGCGGCCACAAUCUCGUGGUAGAUGGCGGCCACACCAUCGUAAAUAAUGGUUCAUGUAUGUAUGAUAACCCAAGUGUGUAUGGUCUCUGAUCUCUUGAUGCCACAAGGAUCCUUGUACUAGUUAUUAUAAGAGGCUUUUUAGGAUAGAUUAGUAGAGCAUUACAGACAAAUAUUUGUUUUUGUUUUUGAAAAAAAUAUUAAAUUAAUGUUUUUAUAUUUUUUUUAUGUGUUGAUAUUAAAAAUAAAAAAUAUAUUAUUUUAAUAUAUUUUUAAUUAAAAAAUACUUUUAUAAAAAUACAUAUACUACAUUGCCAAACACAUAACAUCAUUAAAGUUUGGGAUGCGUGAAAAUUAGGGAUCGAAAUUGGGAUUAGGUAGUAUUUUAACUUCAUUUAAUCGAUUUUCGGAUGUGUUAUUUCUGAAGGGACUUUUAAGAAGGAGCCAAACUUCUGGUCUUAGACUUCUAGGAAAGACUAAAUGAAAAAUUAAAAAAAAAAUCAUAAUGGGCCACAAUGACCGAAGAGAUGCUUGGAUAUUUUGGAAAGACUUCGUUGGGUCACUUUUUUCUCCCAUAUUAACAUACACUAUAAAGAUUUGGCUUUUCAUUAUUAGGUUUUUUUUUUAAUUUUUAAUUUUUUUUCUUCAAUUUUCAUUUUUAUAUUAUAUUUAUUGGUAUAGAGCUUCAUAAUUUAUUUUCUAUGAAGUUAUUUCGAUAUCAUGACCCGAAUUACGAGUUUUACAAGUAAACCGUGUUGAUUCAAGUUAUUUUUUUGUUCUUUUUUAAUUAUUAUUUUUUUAACUUCAUCCUUCAACAAUAGGUUGAUCAUGAAUUGAGAUUCAUAUAUAUAUAUAUAUAUAUAUAUAUAUAUAUAUAUAUAUAUAUAAUUUGCUUUUUAUGAAAUUAUCACAAUCUUAUGACCUAAAUUAUAGUUUUGCGGAUUAGCUAGAUUGACUUAGGUUUCUUUUUUUGUUUUUUUUAAUUGAAUAUUUUUCUUUCAAUUUCAUUCUUCAACAUUGAAUUGAUUGAGAAUUAGAGUUUAUAAAUUUUUUUGCUUUCCAUGGGAUUAUCACGAUUUUAUGACACAAAUCAUAGUUUUGCGGGUUAGUCAAGUUAACUUAGAUUUCUUUUUUGUCCUUUUUUAAUUGAAUAUUAUUUUUUUUAAUUUCAUCCUUCAACAUUGAGUUGAUUGAGAAUAUUUGGAGUUUAUAAAAAAAAAAUUAUUUGCUUUCUACAGAGUUAUCUCGGUCUCUUGACCUGAGUUUGACAUAUUAACCUGAGUUGACCCAGGCUAUUUUUUUUCUUUUUUUCUUAUUUUUUUUUAAUUUUAUCAUUUAACAUUAGGUUGAUUAGAAAUUGAGCUUCAUAAUUGUUUUUUUUGCUUUCUAUAAAGCUAUCAUGUUCUUAUGACCUGAGUCACAGGUUAGGUCGAUUGAGUCGGGUUUUUUUUUUAAUUUUUUUUAGUUGAUUUUUUUUUAAUUUUAUCAUUUAAUAUUUGAUUUAUUUGGAAUUAAGCUUCAUAAUUUUCUUUGUUUGUAUUUUAUGAGGUUAUUCUGAUCUUAUGACCCGAUCUCGGGUUUGAUCAGUUGACUUGGGUGGUUUUUUGUGUUCUUUUUUAAUUGAUUUUAUUUGAAUUUUAUAUUUCAAUAUUGAGUUGAUUGUGAAUUAAGCUUCAUAAUAUUUUUUUUAUUUGUUUUUUAUAGGUUUAUCCCUGUCUCGUGAUCCAAUUUUCGCAAGUUUACCCAAAUUAACUUGACUUAUUUUUUUAGUUGAAUUGUUUUUAAUUUCAUCAUUUAACUUUCAAUUGUUGAGAAUUGAGUUUAAUAAAAAAAAAUGAUUUGUUUUCUAAUAUUAGGGUCUCAUGACCUGAGUAUCGAAUUUGGUUGAUUAACCCGAGUUGAUUCGAGUUAAUUUAAUAUAUUGUUGUUUCAAUAUUUUAAAAAAAAUAUGUUGUUUUGAUUUGUUUUAAUAAAAUUAUAAUUUUAUCAAUCGUUCGGGUUAUUUUUGGAUCUAUCAAGUAAACCAAAUCACAUCAGGUUAAUCUCUAUAUAGUUUUUUGUUUUUACUAAAAAACAUAUUAACAACACUUGAAUUUUUUUAUACCUAAAAAUUUAAUCUAAUAUGUAGCGUAGCGUAAAUAAUAAUCUUGUUAACAUAUAUUAAAAAUCCCUGGUAUAUUUCAAAGGAAUUUUGCAACUUAGUCUUUAUGUUAUAACAUAAACAAUUAAUUAUAACUUAGUCGGUGGAGCAUAAUCCAACUCCAACAUUAUCCGUAGCAAUCCCUUAUAAUAAGUGAGUAAAUUAUAACUUAGUCUUUAUGUUAUAACAUAAACAAUUAAUUAAUCCAUAAAAUCUUCAAAACUACAUAUUCAAUCAUUAUACUCUUAAAUCUGUCAAGUUUUUUUUGUUAAUUACAUAUAAAUUGAAUUGAAAACAUAUUGAAGUAGGUAAGAAGGAAACUUUUGACUACAAAAGUAGGUAUUUUUGGACCAAAAGAACCCUUUGGUCAACAUUUUGACCGAGGGACUAUGUUAUUAUUCUGGUAUUUCAUGGACUAAUUAAUUAAUUUUAAUAAACUAAAGGGACUAAUCUAUCACUAUCUUUAAAAUCAACACCUUUUUUUUUUCUUUCUUUAAGAUAGAAACUAAUUAAUUUUCAAACUACUGUAGCAAAAGCUUCUUGAAUAUCAAGUAAUCUCAUUUUUGCUUCAAAAAUUCUACUUAACAAGCAUUUAAAGCCCCCCAAAUUAAACUAUUCCUGAAAAAAAAACCUUAAUUUCAAAAGGAUAGUCAUCAUCACAAAGCAAAACCCAAACAACCUGAAAGUCAAAAAAGAUAAGUUAGCAAAAACCGAUCGUGAAUUUGGACUUGGGCUUUUCUCAUCUUCUUCGAUGAUCUGUAAGUUUCUUUUUUUCGUUUAAUAUUGUUUUGUUUUUGUUUCGUAUUUGCAUUUUAUAGAUAAAAGAAUUUUGGGUUUUUUGAGCAUUUAGUAUAUAUAAGAUUGCAAGUUGAAGUAGAAGCAUCUCAUUUACUCUGGUUUCUAAGUACCCAAACAGCAUAUUAGGGCAAAAUUAGGCUUAAUUGGGUUUAGCAAUGUUCGAUUUGGGGCUGGCUUGUGUUUAGAUUAUGACUAUUUAGCUCAAUCUCAAAUGGGUUUCUUUAAAUUUAUAAUUUUGAAACAAGAAUGACCGUAAAGUUUUUUUUUUUUUUUUUUAGUAUUUAUUCUUAGAUUUUGAGCAGGUAUUGCGAGAGCAGCUUAUAAUGAUGUCUAGGCCUAUGUUACUUGUGUUUCUGUUACUGAUACUGAUAAUCACAUCCCAAUUUGAGUGGAGACAACCUCUUGUAAAUGACAUUGACACAAAGCCUGCUGUCAACCCAAAGCAGCUACAGAUUUCAAAGUGGGAAGAAGGUGUAAAAGAGAAGGUAAGGAGUGUCGUAUUUCACUAUGUUUUCUUCAUCCAUUUAUUGGGUUGGUUUGUGAAUGAAAUCAUUUGUGGUUGCAACUGUUAAAAAAUAUUUUGAUUGUAAAAUUGUAAGUUUAGCUGCAUUUAGUACUUAGAACAUCUUCCAUGCUAUAAGUAAUAUGUAUUGGUUACCUAAGCUGUUUUUUUUGGAGUUAUCAGCUCAUUGAUGUUUUGAAGUCUAUGUCUUCUGUUUUCCCUUGGCUUCCUUGAUAGGAUAAGUGUUUGAUAGACAGUCUAUGUAGACCAAAUCAGUUCGAUAACUAGUGCAGGGGUGAUCCUACUAAUUACGAUUUGCUAAUACAAUGGCGCUAGAUAAUGCAAUUUAUUUGUUGUAAUUAGAGUAUUAGACUAUGUAUGUAACAAUCUCUGCCUUCAUAGGGAUGCUGCUACUAGAUCCAAUGCGAUGUAUUGUAGGGAAAUGGAAAAAACAGCAGUUACCGCAGAAUUAUGGCUAAAGCUAGAAUGAAAUUGAAUUUAAACAAGAGAGUGAAAAAUUAGGGUUGUAGAAAACCAAAAUUCUGUAAUAGGAUCAUAGAAUACUGUUAUCUUAUUACAAAAAAAAUCAGAGAAAACUUGACAUUUCUUUAAAAUUCACUGCAUCACCAUGCCAGGUUCAAACCUGGAACACCCAUCAUUUCUAAAUCUACUCUGCUUUUGUCAAACAUCCAUGGAGGUUAUCUUAUUAUACUGACAUUCUGAUAAUCAUCUCCAAUAAAAAUUCUAGCUCUUCAUCUUAAGUAUCAAAUUGAAGACAAUAGUUUGGCAUUUUUGUAUUGAGUGGUUCUGCCACGAUAACUCUCUUGAAAGAUCUAUUAUUCAGCAAGGAUAUAUGAUCUUUUAAGCCAUUACUUUGAGAGCUCUCAAUUAAGAAACAAAUGUGAAAUGAUCGUACUGACUUUGUAUUAGUAAGUCUUGUCAUAGAACAUAAAUGCUAAUCCUUUAGUUUGUUAUAAAUAAUCCACAUAUAGAAAGAUGCCCUGAUCACAAUUGGAGGCCAAUAAUUGUAAUCAACUUCUAAUGCUUCUUUGUCUUAGUUGAUUAGUUGUUCAUAUGUGGAGAUUUCUGCAUGUAGUUCUGUCACGAUAACCUGGACAUUAUAGUUUCUUGGAUCCUGGAAUUGUAAACUUAUGUUGUUCAUUCGAGGAUAUUGUUUUUGAAUAUUUUCAUUAUUAAAUUCGUGUAAUUACCAUGUCUUUUUCGGGUUAACUAAUGUAGUACUUUGAUGUAACUGGGGCUGUUUCCAUUUUCUUAGCUUGUGAUUCUUAAAAUGGAACUUUGGCAUAUCAUUGUAGCACUCAGAUUCUAGUGAUUCUUGAGCUGUCCCUUAACAGGGAGACUUUAUCCUUAUUGUAGUUUAUCUUGUCAAGCUUUAUCUUUACUUGUUGCAGAGCAAACUCUAGAAUAAAUAGAAAAACUAUAAGAAUUCCAGUUUUGUCUCAAAAUACUGAAUUGAUGUCUUUGACUUUGCAGAUUAUCUUAUCACAAGAGAAGAACAUUCACAGGCUUAAUGAGCUUGUCCGGAGUCUUAAGCAGCAACUCUUGCAAUGCAAGUGUACUAACGAACCAAGAACUGGCCCUUCAGGCACUUUGACUGAACGUAUUAUUGAGCUUGAAAGGCAGCAGAUCCUGGAAGACUAGGAUGCGACCUUGUAAGAAUUUUGCUCAGGGUGUAUUCUGGAAACGAAAGCUUUUCCUUUUCUGUUCUCUCUUUGAAGUUCCGCCCAUGCAAAAGUCUACAUCUUAUUAUACAUCAUUAUCUUUAUUUAUCUUUUAUUAAGAUCUAUAACUAAUCAGAUAGAUUUAAAUUAGCUAGGAAUAUUAGUAUAAAUGAGGUAUAAAGAAUAAAUUAUGAAGUUGAUAAAUAAACAAUUAUAAUAAGAAAGCAAGAAAUAUAAAGAUAAAGAUAAUAUCCUAACCUCAAUCGAAAUCACAUUCACAAUAAAUAUAAGUAAUUAAAACUUACUACUGAUUGUGGACCAUGUGGCUAGUAAUUAAUUAAUAACUUUACCCCACACAUUGAAAUUGAAUUGAGAUCCAGAUCUCAAAAAAGAAAAAACAAAAAAAAAAAAAACAGAAACCUGCAAAAUGCUCGCAGAAACCAGGCAAAUAAUGGAGCCCAAUGACAUUAAGUACCUUAUGAGUGGUUAAUGUUACAAAUAAAGUUUAAAAAAUAAAAAAUAUUAUUUUAAUAUAUUUUAAAAUAAAAAUAUUUUAAAAAAUAAAUAAUUGCAAGAUGCUCGAAAACGUAAGAAAGGCAAGGCGAAAGGGAUUGCUCAUGUAUUUUCAUCCAUUCUUGUUUUCUCCGUCUCUUGUAAUUCACUGUUGGUUACGUAGUUAAAGUUUUUUUAAAAAAUAUUUUUUAUAUUGAAAUGAAUUAAAAUAAUAUUUUUUUAUAUUUUUAAAAUUAUUUUUAAGAUUAAGUAUAUCAUCUAAAAUAUAAAAAAAUUAAUUUAAAAAAAAAUUAAAAAACGCAAGUAUAAUAGCAUUUCCACACGCUCAAUCAUGACUGCACCAGAAGUACUGUCAGUAUUAAUAUCGAAUUAAAUGAGAAAUUAAUAACUUUGAGGAAAAGGUUCGACUGUGUGUGUCGUCUCUUGUGAUCUCUUGUUGAGAUCAAACCUUGGAACAGAAUUUAGAUAAAUAAAAAUGUUGUAAAUAAUAAAAAUUAUUUUAAAAGAUUUUUAUUAUAUAUUCAAAAAAAUACAAUUUAUUUUUUAUAAACAUUGAGUAUAUAUGAGGCCAUUUAUUUUAUAUUAAAGAAAAUAAGACCUUCUAAUGUUUAUAUAAUGUAGGAACCUGAUAUGUGAUACCAACCACCAAGAAAAGAAAAGUGGAAUCAUGCCUAUAAGAUUGAGUUGAGCAAGAGAAAAAUAUUUGAUUGCACCCAACACACGCGAGGUAAUGUGCUUGUAUUUUUUGAACCUUUUGUCUCCAAUAAUAAUUUGUUUUUGAUUUUUAAAUUGAAACCAUAAUUUUUUUAAACACUUGGAAUUAAUUUUUUAACUGUUAUAAAAUUCUAACAACUCUUUAAUUCCCUAACAGAUCUUUUAUUUUUUAUAAUAACUCUUUAAUUCUUUAAUUUAUUUCCUACCAAGCUAUUACAUGCUUGUAAUCUAUAUAUACAAUACACUCUUUUAUUUUAAAACUUUUUUAACAACUAUAACUUUUUUAAUUCUCUAACAAUUUUUUUAUUUUUUGAACUCUUUAAUUCUUUAAUUUAUUUACUCCCUGGCUGUUAUAAGCUAGCAGUCUAUAUAUAUCUUGCACUUUUAUAAUCAAGGUGUGGUGAAAAAACAUAGUUUUUCUUGUGUUUGCAAAGCUUGCCAAUGACCUUAUAAUAAGAAAAUAGUGUUUGUAUAUGCCUCAAAUUUUAUUUCGCUUCUGUUUUUUAUCGUAUUUUAUUACAACAUAAAAGGUGUGGUCUUAAAAAAAUAAAAUUUUAAAAAAUAUUUAGUUUUGAUUAACAUAUAAAUUAAUAUGAAAAUGCCCCUCGUUAUAGGAGGAGAAUAAAUAAUAAAGUAGAAAUUAGUUAGUAACAAAAUCUUUGUAAUUUUUAAAGUAUAACGUACGUAUUAAUUGUUAUAAUUCCAAAUUCUUGGCCAUGAGUUUUCAUACAUGUCCACGAAUCAAAACUCAAAGUAGAAAUAUGGAUUUGAUUAUUUACUCAUAAAGCCCCUCGGAGUGAAUUAAUAUUCUUAAAACUUGAACCCUCCCCAACCUCGAGCCCUACUUGAAACUCAAAUAUCUGACUGAAAUAAAUAAAUAAUUAAAUAAUUAAUUUUUUUAAAAAAAAAAUCAAAUGUAUAGAAAGUUAAUUAUAUACUAAAUAGUUGUAAAUUAUAACAUUUAAGUUUGGUUUUCAGGCUCUAUAACCUGUCGAAAACUGAUCGGAUUGGUUCAGGUAUUAAAAAUCCAUACAUCUUUGAGUUGGAUUCGGAUAGUUAUUUUGAAUUCAAAUUAAAGUAUAAAUAAUACCAAACAUGACCAUCCAUCUUCAUCCCUAAUUACAUGUUACUCCUUAUUAAUACUCGGGUAGCUUGGUACCAUAAAUUGGUGAAAAUAAUUAGGGAAGUAAUGUAGAAAAAGAAGUGUUAGUGCUAUCAUCUGGCCUAUUUAGUAACAAAUUAACCCGUUUACUCAAGCAACCUGCACUAUAUAUACACUAAGGGUUCUAUAGUCGAAACUCUAAUAUAUAUAUAUAUAUAUAUAUAUAUAUAUAUUACUUUUAAGAGAUAUAUAGGAAAAUCCCAGUUUAGAUCCAUUCAUUUGGCUUAAAAGGAAAACAACAAAUCAAUUUUUUUAUACAAUUAAUAUAAUAUGUAUAAAAAACUAAAGAAAAAGUAUGAUCUCUUCUUUAAUAUAUGUUCAAAAGAAGUUCUCUAUAACCUUUUGCAAUUAUGAGAUGAUCCAUCGAUGUAGAAGUUUAAUUGUUUCUCAAUGCCGCUUUAUAUGAUUAUUUGUAAAUUUGUAGCACAGAAGGAUUUAAUGAUUAGAUAACAAUAUCAAAUUAAGAAUUAAAUAAAUUAAAAUAUUAUAUAGCUCUUUAUUGAAAUUAAACUAGCCCCGGUGUCUAUGCUUUGUUGUGGGGUUAGAUUUUUCUUUUUAUGUAUGUGAAAAAUAAUGUUCAAGUGUUGAAAUAGGGUAAAAAAAUAAAAUAAAAAACUAAUCAUGAUAAACUUAUAGCUAUAUUAAUUAGGGCUGAGGUAAUCAACCUGUGAUACCCUAUCAAACAUGCGGCCUCGAUCAUGUAAUUGAAAUAACUCGAUAAAAAAAUAAAGAGAAUUAUAAAGCUCUUUAAAAAAAAACAAACGUUUUAACUUGUUAAACUCAUGACCCUAGUCAUUAGACCUGAAACACCCAAUUUGAAAAAAAAAACCCAUAAAGUUCAAUUCUCAAUUAAUCAUAUAUUGAAGGAUGAAAUUAAAAAAGAAUUUCAAUUAUACAAAAGAAUUUUUAAAAAAUAGCAAUUAAAAGAAUGAACAAUAAAAACUUAGAUACAAAAUAAAUUUUAUAUUUAAUUGAAGGGUGAAAUUGAAAAAAAAUCAAUUUAGUAAAAGGAAAAAAAUAAAAAGAAUGGGGAUCAAAAUUGAUAUUAAAAUAAAAAUGAUAUUGUAAUUAAAGGGUGAAAUUGAAAAGAAUAAUAACUUCUACAAAAGGGCCAAGAAAAAAAUUAGAAAUCAAAACAUUGAGGACCAAAUUGAAAAAUAUAAUACCAUUAAUUUGAAUUGAAGGAUUAAAUUGAAAACCUCCAAAACUUUUACAAAAGGACCAAAGAAAAAAAAAUAGAAAUCUAAAGAAUGAGGACCAUAUUGGAGAAUAUAAUAUUUGGUAAAUUGGAAUUAAAGGAUGAAAUCGAAAAUAAAUAAAACUUCUACAAAAAGAUCAAGACAAAAAAUAGAAAUAAAAAGAAUAGGGACUAUAAUUAAAUUACUAACAACUAAGAUGGUCAAGUUGUAAUUUUCGGGGGAAGAGAGAAAAAAGAAUAAAAGAAGACUCAACAAUGCCAAACUGGACCAUCAUCGGUGACACGCGCCAACAGGAAGAGGACAUAACAACACUUAUAACGACACGACAUAAGAUUAUUUUUGGACGCUGAGAGGUGCCACAUGCACUACCCGUAGAGCGUGAGCACCUCCCACACACCUUGCACAUGUCCUUCUUUGUAUUUUCAUUUAGUUAAAUAUAGAAUUGUCCAUGAGCUGACUUUAUAAUUAUAAAAAAACCAUUGUAAAAAGUUAAAAAAACCCCUUGUCUCAAGGUUUUAAGAUUUUUUAUUCUAAUAAUAUUUUUUUGUUUCAUUGUGCAAUUAAGAUGAGAAAUAUAUAUUUAUCCAUGUUAAAUUUAGAAAUGAUAAAUGGAUCAUAUAAUUUUUUUUAAUGCUUUCAAAAGCUAUAUUUAAGUUUCUUAGAUAAAAAAACAAAAUAUCAUUAUACUAUACUAGUAAAAUAUAUCUAUCCAUCAUCAGUAGCUAUUAGUCAUUGUGUUGGACAAAAAAAUUAAUGUGUGUUUGGUAUUGUGGUAGCUUUUGUAGUUGUGGUUUGAAAAAAAUUGUUUUAUAAAAACUAAAAAGUACUUUUAGUUGAGGUUGAUUUGGUAUUUAAGUAUGUUUGGUUAAAACUGUGGUUGAAAUUGAGGUUGAACAAAAAGUACUUUAAUAUGUUUGGUUAAGAAUGCUUUUGAAAUUGAGGUUAUAAAAUAAUUUAACAAAAUAUUUAUUAAUAUUGAUGGUUUUUAAUUUAAAUAUUGUAGAUUUAAUUAUUGCUAUUACAUCAUGAAAUAAAUAAUACUUUAUAUAAAAUAUUUUUUAUUAUUCAUUUAAACUAUCUACAAUUCCAUCACGUACGAAAUACAUCCGACAAGGACUACAGUUUCCUUGGUUUCUUAAGCGCACAACAACAUCAGGAAAAAUAUAACCAGGAACAAAAUUGGAAUUGCAAUUAAAUUCUGAAAAUGCUACAUCAUCAAUAAAACACAAUUAAAAAUAAAAAAUAAAAUUUAAUUUAUUUUUACUGGAUCGGACUCAGUUCAAUGUAUUUAUCUUUAAAUCGGACCCGAUCCGGUCGGAACAAUAAAGACAUACUUUACUAUUCAUGUGAAUACUAGAAUCACUUUUCACUGUUUACUUAAAUAAACAAUACAUAGUGAGAGCCCUUCACGGCCUGAAAGCAGUAUUGUACUGCUUUCAAUGAUGCUGCAUUUUCAACACAGAAAUUAAUGAGGCUCAUGCAUAGUAAAUUGAGUUUUCAGCUGUUACCAAAUAUUUCUGUAACAAAAAAAAGCUGUUACCAAAUAUUUAUUUCCUGUGGUUGGCUUCAAACGCACAAGGAACCACGGAAAUAAACGGUACGGUACCGUUGGAGAUGAACAAGGAUCGCACGAGUACAAAUUUUUGUUAAGGAUUGAAGGAGUACGGAAGAACCAUGCUACUAGGCCGCGUAUCAAGCACUCAUUCCGAGAGGGUAGGAGGAGAAAUAGACGGAGCACAGCAUGGAGAGUCAGAAAAGCCAUUCUAAGCAUGCAUGUGACGUGUUCUGAAUAUAUUCAUAGACUAUUUAAGUUUUUUUUGUCCGCGCUUUAUUGCUAGUUAAAUAUUUUUUUUAUAAAAAAAUAUAUAUUCAAAUGUUUUAUAUAAAUUAAAAUAUUUAUACAUACAUAUAAUCAAAUAAUUUAAAAUCUAUAUGGGUUAAUAAAAGAGAAAAAAUUAUUAACAAUAACUAAAUAUAAAACUGUAAAAGUCAAGAGACGUGUAUAGAUCAAAAUAUUUAACCUUGCAAAAUAUGAUGUUUACUGAAUUUGUUUAUUAAAAUUAAUUUUUUAUUUAAUCAAAUAAUAUUAAAAAUAGACACACAUAUGAAAUUGAUUAAAUAAAAUAAAAGUGAAAAAUAUUAUGUAAGGCUGCAUAUAUUAUAAAUAUUAUCUAAAAAUAAACAUUUAUUAUUAAAAAAAAAUAAAAUUCUUGUAUACAAAAUAUAAAAAAAACAAUUAUAGAUGAAUCGAAAUAAUAUUUUCAAAAAUUAAAUACACACAACACCAUAAAAAACAAUCUAUUUUUCUAAAAAAAAGGUUAAACAAUAAAAAAUCAUAAAUGAUGGAUAUUAAUUGAAAUAUAACUUAAAAAGAUAUUAGUUAAAAAAGUAAUACAAAAAAAAAUAGCCGGUGUGUUGUGGCUUAAUUCGUCAAACUUGUAAUCCACAUCAUGAACUCAACCAAGUUCAAUAAAUUUUUUCCCUUGAAUUUAUAUCCAACCUAAAAAUAAGGACAAUAAGAGCCUAGACUCAUGGGCCUAUGACCCAGUGCGCUUAGGCCAUAACAAUGAAGAGCUUAGGAGCGUUGACGUGCCUUUAAGCCUAGGCUUGGGCUUGUUUUCUAUUUUUUAAAGAGGCAGAUGACAGGUUGUCCAUCCCUAUUUUUUGAAAAAAUAAGUAGACAACGUGUCAUCUGUAAGCCUAGAUUCUAGCCACCACAGUGGUGGCUGGAAAAUCGGGGCAGCGACUCUUUUUGCUAAAAAAACGUAAUUUUUAAGUCAUGUCAACCUAAAAACACCUCAACAAUAUCCUUAUAACACCCACAAAUUAUUUAAUCAACUCCAAAUACCUAAAAAAUAGCUUAAGAAAUUGAAACCAAGAAAACUCAUUUUGGUGACUGGGAAUGAAGUGAACUACAGCCUCUCUUCUAUUCUCUCUCUAACUACAGCCUGAAAAAUAACACAAAUGAACUUGUGUAUUAAAAUUUAUUUUUUAAAAUUUAAAAAGAUCUAAAUUAUAUAAAUUAUGUUAUUUUAAAAGAUUGAUGAAGAAGUGUAUUUGUCAUGCAAUCCAUUUCAAAUUCCACUGCUGCUUGUAACCAAAAAGAUAUAGUGCGACUUCUUUGACUAGCCUUUGCAAAUUAAGGAAAGAUCACCGAAGUUUAAUAAUUAUGGAGUGGAAGGUCUGAGAAGUUUCAUGGAGAGAGAUAUAUAGACACAAAAAAGAGAAGAAAAAUGAGAGAGAUUUUAUCACUUUUUGAGAAGUUUUGCUAUGAUUCUAUCUCUUUUACGAUGCAAGCAUCUAGUAAUUACAACACCAUGAAGUGUUUGCUUUAUGUGAAGUUAAUGAGAAAUAAUGUAUUUCUCUUCAUUUUAUACUUUUGUAUCUUAACAUUUUCUCUUACAAUUAUUUAAACUAUAUUAAUUCUGCAUCCAUGUAAAUUAAUGCACAUAUAUAUAUAUAUAUAUAUAUAUAUAUAUAUAUAUAUAUAUAUAUAUUUACUUACUUUUUUUUUUUAUUAUUAUUGCUAUAUCUUUUGCCUCCUAGCUAGCUAGCUACAAGGAAUUAAUGCACAUAUAUAUUUACAUUCAAUCAUUUUCCAAACCAAAUUGUAACAACGAAAGUAGAUAGAUGGAUUAAUUAGUUAUCUUGGUAAAUCAGACCUUAAUUUAAACAUCUUCAAAGCAAUGGCAUGUCAUCUCCUUUAAUUAGUAAUUGGGCUUUCAAUUAACUUAGUUGAAUGACAAUUCAACCUCAACCACCAUUUACCAAUCAUUAACUAUUCCUCCCAUCGCCCAUUGUUCUUUAUUGCUUAGUUUCUACUUAAUUAGUGUGCUCAUUCAUUAGUUAGGUAAUUUACAUAUAAAAUUUUUCUUUUAGUUAUAUAUUAACAAAAUUUAAUUACACUUGAAAAAUUAUUAUAGCUCUAGACUUAUUGGUACCGUUCAUUAUAAAAGUGUAAGAGAGUUUUUGCCUCUUUACCCAAAUUAAAAACUUUAAUUGUAAGGGUGUUUUUGCAUCUCUAUCCAAAUUAAAAACUUUUCACUGGCUUCCAAUGACAUUAAAGUCUUCUUACCCAAAUUAAAAACUUUGUAUUGACUUCCAAUGACAUUAAAGUCUUUUCAGAUAACUUACAAGUAAGUAUUUUACUAUCUUGAUUGCAUAAUAAAAUGACCAGAAUAUCAUUGGAAGAAAAAAAUUAAACUUGGAGUCAAAGGGUAUUUUCAUAUAUUUACGAUGGUUUUUAAUUAUUAUAAUAUAAGCUGAGGGGUGAUUUAGUAUUUGAUCAAAAUAAAAAAUAAUAAACAUUUAAAUGCAUAUUAAAAUGACAAAAAUAACUUUAAAAUUAAAAAAAAUAAGCCUGAGGUCAAAGGGUAUUUUUGAUUUUUUACAAUGGUUUUUUUUUAAUUAGAAAAAUGGCUUAGGGGCACUUCUGUAUUUAGAUAAAUAAAAAAAGGACAUGCAUGUGUGAUACACCCGCGGGCGACGCCUGAUCUCGCCAUCGAAAAUUCCCUUCCGUCAUGUCGUUAGAAGAGCUACUAUGUUCUCUUCAUGUUGAUAUGACGUGUCUCCGAUGGUGGUUCGAUUUGUUGCUAUGAACCUUUCUUCUUCUUUUUCUCCUUCUCUUUAUCAUCCCCUGAAAAUUACAACGUAGUCCUCUUGGUUGUUAGUAUUUCAACUUUACUCCUUAUUCUUUUGAUUUUUUAUUUUUGGUCUUGACCUUUUUGUAGGAGUUUUAUUUAUUUUCAAUUUCAUCAUUGAAUUCUGAUUUACCAAAUAUUAUAUUUUGAUCCAAUUUGGUCCUCAUUGUUUUGAUUUUGAUUUUGAUUUUGUUCUUUUUGUAAGAGUUUUAUUUGUAAUAUGUUAAUUUUGAACCUCAUUUUUUUAAAAAAAAAUUUGAUCCUUUUAUUAAAUUAAUUUUAUUUUUCAAUUUCACCCUUCAAUUAAAUAUAAAAUUUAUUUUGUAUUUUAAUUUUGAUCUUCAUUUUUUUUAAUUGCUAAUUUUUUAAAAAUCAUUUUUAUAAUUUUUUUUUUUGAAUUUCAUCAUUCAAUAUAUGAUUGAUUGAGAAUUGGACUUCAUAGCUUUUUUAGAUUGGAUGCUUCAUGUCUAAUGACUCGAAUCUCAGGUUUGAAAAGUUAACAUGGGUUUUUUUUAUAAAAAAAAAAGCUUUAUAAUUCUCUUUAUUUUUUUAAUCGGGUUAUUCCAAUCACAUAAUAUGAGCAGAGGGUUUGACAUGAAAGAGCUUUCUAAUUAUUUUAUUUUUUUAAUCGGGUUAUUUUAAUCACAUUAUCUGGACUGCGGGUUUGAUAUGAUAUUUCGGAUUACAAGUUUGUCAUAACCAAUUUUUUAUUUUUUAUUUUUACCUUAUUUUAUAAUAUUAACAUCAUUUUUUACAAAAAAAAAAAAAAAAGUAUCAUCUCAUGACAAAACCCGGGCAUCGAGGCUAGUAUUUUCCCAAAGGAUUCCAACUGUUAUGAUAAAAAAAAAAAAAAAACUCAUUACAAAAGGGUAAA